AACAAUGUAUACUUCAAGAAAACGACUUGAAACAAACAGGAAAAUUUCCACAAGCAAACGAGUAAAACUUAAGUAAACUUUUACCAUUCCACCAACACCGCCAUAACAAAUUCUUCUAUAAAUUAUUCCUAAAGAAUCCAGAAUUUUAAUUUCAAUUUCAUUCAUUUGUUCGCUGUCUCUUUACCCCACUUAUUUCCUCUCCUUUUUAUACCUUCUAUCUUCACAUUCUCUUCUCCACCCAAUAAUCUCUCUCUCUCUCUCUCUCUCUCUCUCUCUCUAGCUAACUAGCUAACUCUCUUCUUUUCUUUGAAAUCUAAAAUGGCUGCUUCAAAUGGGUUAGUAGUGUUUAUGAUAUUGGGAAUGUUGAUUGGAUCUACAAUAGCACAAGCACCAGGAGCUGCACCAACUUUACCACCAACAGUAGCACCACCAACACCAGUUGUAACACCACCAACAGUAGCACCAACACCUGCACCAACUGUUUCUCCAACUCCAGCACCUACACCUUCAUCACCAUCUCCAUCUCCAUCUCCUAAUGCACCAGAAUCAUCUCCACCAACUCCAUCUCCAACUCCAACUGCUGCUUCACCACCAGCACCACCAACUGAUACUCCUACAAGUGGUCCAUCAGGUUCUGAUACACCUUCUGGUUCUGUUACUCCACCAGAUAACUCAGCUCUUGGUUCUUUAAGCAGAGUUGCUGUUUUUGGAUCUGCUUUUGCUGGAACUUUUGCUGCUGUUUUCUUGAUCUAGAUCUACCACCAUAGAUCUUUUGAUCUUGAUUUGUGACGUACACGUGGAUGAGUAGAUGAUGAUCUGAUUUUUUUUUUCUUCUUCUUACUUGUAUUUGUCCUUGUACUUUUUUAUUAUUUUGGAUUGUUUAUGGUAGAGUUGGAUGUUGAUUAUUUUCGGUGAUUCAUUCUUCUUGAUUGAUUCUGGGGAAAAGUGGUUGUUAUUGAAGGGUUGAUGUAAAAGUUUAAAUCUGGGGAUAGAGAUGUGGAUGUUGAUGAAUCCGGUGUACAUUGAACCAUAAAUAAAAUUUAAUUAUUUGUUUUUUUUUUUUUUUUUUGUAUUUUUCUUGGUAAACUAUUACUAGUAUCUUUCAGCACAUAUGGUUAAUGGUAGUUCUAAUUUCUUAUCAAAAUUUUGGAGAGUAGUCCAUUAUUUAAAAACCAUGGCAUUAACUCAUUAACGACUUGAUCUAAGAAAACUACUAAUAAUAGAGACUACUCAACAACAUGAAGAAAUAAUACAGUACUGAUUUUAGAGCAUAAUGUGUUCCUUCUAGUGCUAGAAAGUCUUGUCUCCAUCUUUAUUUAUUAAGGUUUGUAAUAAAGCGUGCACUUUGUUAUUAGUUGCUUGCCAACUCCGGCAUAACUUGCAUCAAGACACAUUGUGAACCUCUGAUGAAUGCAGUAGUAGCCCAAACGUGCGGAUGACGAGUGAAGCAUAGAUGUCAAUGCCAGUUCAAUAAGCACUACUUUGGACUUUUGGAUACCUAGAUCUCACAUGCCCACUCAUUCAAUACAGUUUCCUAUACACCUUCACAAAUUUAAUUUAAUGAUGCAAAUAUUUUGUCACAAUACUAAUUAUUCUACUAAAAUUUAUAAGAAUCACCAGGGACGGAGCCAGACAUUUUUAUUUUUAUUUUUUGCUAAACGCCAGAAAUUAUUUUUGAGUGGGGCACUUAAAGAAAUUUUUUUUUUUUUUUUUUUUUUCUUUCUACAUAUUACAGUUAAUUAAUAAAUUAAUAAAUAAUAGGGAUUUUUAAACCAGUAAUGCAACAUCUUGGCUAAAAAUAAAUAAGCAAAUGUUUUGCCAUUCACAUACAAGCUUCACAAGAUCUCAAAAUACAUCUACCUAAAAAACCUCUCAAAAUUCAUUUUCAUCACAAAUAAGUAUCUAUAAUUAUCUUCUUGUAUUUUGAGAUUGGGAAAAAAAAUAAAUUCAAGAAGCAUUAUUUAAGAACUAAAAUAGAAUGAGUUAAUAGGUAAUGAGUAAUUGUACUGGUUUAAUUUUUAAGUUUAGGUGGGAUUGUGGGAUGGGAUGAAAAAGAUAGAUCUGAAAGAGACUUCAAAAUUUUCCUUACAUGUGAAGAAAAAGAAUAAAUGAUAAAAAGGCAAAAUGUAGAGCCCAACUUAACAACAAUCCAAUAAUCCAAUGGACUAUACAAAGCCCAACUUCAGUGAAUCAUUGCAACAACUAACAAUCCGAUAGAAAUUUUGAAAUGAGUGUGCACUAAUGUUUUGUUUGUAGUGGGCCAUGAGCAAUAUAUAUAGUAAAUGUUUUUUUUGCAAAAUUCACUGGGGCACGUGCCCCGUUAUGUGCCAACGUAGCUCGGUCCUUGAGAAUCACUAUUUUGGGUUUUUUAAUUGAUUUUUUUUUUAAUUCAAAAAACUAUUUUAUUGAUAAGUUCAAAGAAUUACACAAAAGUAGAGGACAAACGCGCUACAAACUGCGUUGUAAGUCCUUUUAACACAAACCUGAUUCUUCUAAAUACAUAUACGUUCGAACCCAUAGUCAUCCCGUUGCUAUCCAUUACCUUCUGCACUCUUCUGAAGAGUUCAACUGCUUCUGAACCUAUCAAUCUAAAUAUAUCAAAUGCAAAAGAGAUAAAACUAUAUUGGUUAGCCCUACACGUUCCAUUAUGUUUUUGUACUUUUGUUGUUGCUGCUGCAUUGCUAGUUGCUAGCCACAUCUCAAAAAUCCCAACACCUAGUCCGACCAUCAAAAAUGCCCCUGUAACAUCAAUACACGCAUGUUUGCUUUCAGACCAGUUGUAAACCAGAAUAUCAACGAAUUGUAACGUCAAUCUUCCUUCCUUAAAAUCAAUAAAGAAGUCAAUAGGAGCCUUAUUUUUAAAGUCUAAGAAAGUACAGAUUUACUCUAAAAAAAACUUUUAAUUCUUAAAAAUUAGGAAGUUAAGUAGUGCUUAGAAAUAUAAUUUAUUAGAGAUUUUUGGACAUACCUCCCCACUUGAAAGUCGAAAUUUGAGAUACCACCAUUUAAAAAAAAACAAAAAAAAUUUAAGAUACCCCAUUUCAAGAUAGAAGAGAUUUAUAACCAUAAGUUAGUUUUAUGAUGGAUGGCUAAGAUAACACCACAUCUUAAAAUGAGGGUUAUCUCAAUUAUUUUUUUAAAUAGGGGUAUCUCAAACUUCGAAUGCUUAUGUCCAAAAAUCAUACCUAAAAUGUUCAGUUUUAUAAUUUUUAUUAUUGAGAUUUUUGGACAUACCCCCGUUUGAAAUUUUUUUUGAGAUACCCCAAUUCAAGACAGAAGAGCUUUACAGCCAUAUUAUAGAACAACAAACCUUCCCUCCAAGGAAUGGAUUCGUCAAAGCAAACAAACAGAACUGAAAAUGAUCAGAGAUUCAAACGAACCUCUGUUAUUAUUAAUCAAUCAAGAAGAAGAAGAAGAAGAAAGAGAUAGUUUGAUUGAAAGAGUAUGGAUAGAAUUGAAAAAGAUAUGGAAGGUAGCUGGUCCUGCAAUCUUCAGUCGUGUUGCUAUGUUUUCAAUGACUCUCAUAAGCCAAGCUUUUGCUGGUCAUUUGAGUAAUCUUGAUUUAGCUUCAAUUUCCAUUGCUACUACUGUAAUCAUCACUAUCAGCUUUGGUUUCUUGGUAAAUAUCACUACCCCUUUUCUUAAUUUAGUCUAAUUCUUCCCAAGUUUUGAUUUUUCUGCAAAUUUCUCAUCAUUUUUGUGCAAAAUUUUAUUUUUUUUAGAGGUUUUCUCUGUUAAUUGUAUUACUCCACUCUUUUAUUAUUUCAAUGCAAUUUCUGUGUAAAAUUUUCAUUACUUGCAAAACAAUUUGAUGUUUUGGGGAUUGGAGUUUUCAGCUAGGCAUGGCAAGUGCAUUGGAGACUCUAUGUGGUCAAGCUUAUGGUGCUAAGAAAUACCACAUGAUGGGCAUUUAUCUGCAAAGAUCAUGGAUUGUUCUGUUUGUCUGUUCUAUUCUGCUUUUGCCCAUGUACUUGUUUGCUACUCCAAUUCUCAAGUUUGUAGGACAAUCUAAUGAAGUAGCUGAGAAGUCUGGAAUUGUCGCUUUAUGGUUGAUUCCUAUGCAUUUCUCAUUUGCUUUUCAGUUUCCAUUACAAAGGUUUCUUCAAUGUCAGAUUAAAACUUUUGUUAUUGUUUGGGUGUCUGGUGUGGCUCUUGUUGUACAUGUGAUAAUGAGUUGGUUCUUUAUGUAUAAGCUCAAUGUCGGGGUUGUUGGUACAGCUAUUAUUCUUGAUUUCUCUUGGUGGAUUGCGGUAUUAGGGCUGUUUGUAUAUACAGUUUGCGGUGGGUGUUCUAACUCAUGGACUGGUUUUUCAAUUCAAGCUUUCUCUGGACUUUGGGAGUUUUUUAAGCUCUCUGCCGCUUCUGGGGUCAUGUUGUGGUACAUGUUUUAAUGUUCUAUGUUGUUUUGUCUCAGUUUUGUUUAUCUUUUUCGUGUCACUCAUUACUCGUACUUCUUUUGGCUAUAAAAUUUUCAGUUUGGAGAAUUCGUAUUUUCGAAUACUAAUAAUAAUAUCGGGAAUUCUUAGUAGCAGUGAGGUUGCUUUGGAUGCACUUUCUAUCUGGUUAGUCAUUUUAAUGUAGAGGGAGGUGAAAUUUUGUAUGUAUCAUUGUAUCUAAUUCUUCGUGCAUUUGCUUGCUAUCACUGACCUUUAUUAACUUUUUUGCACAGCAUAUCUAUCUUUACUUGGGAGUCGAUGGUCGUGCUUGGGUUCUUUGCUGCAACUGGGUAUGUUGUCAGUCUCCCUUUUUUCAUCUCUCUGAUCCUUUAUUUCAUGCUUUUGUAGUUUCGUAUUCUAGAAAAGUGUUCAGUUAAGUUUGUAGGGGAUAUAUUAUUAAGUGUGGCACAUCAUCUACAUUAGGCUGCCUGUUUGCUAUCACUACAAGAGGUAUAGAGAGGGUCUGAAGAAAUAUAGACUGUAAGCGACACAAGCCAUGUUACUGCAACAACAUUUAAUUUGCUAUAUUAUCACAGAGUCUCUCUGAGUAUCUGAUUGACUGGCGAUGUUGAUGAACGAAUAGAACAGCCAUUAUUUAAAUACUGUAUAGAGUUGUGUUCUUAGUUCAAUUUUCAAUAUCUAUACAUCAGUAAUGUGUUAGAAAUUGCUAUAGAAAUGUAAAUAUUUCUUACAAUCCAGGGUAAGAGUUGCAAAUGAGCUUGGAGCAGGCAAUGGAAAAGCUGCUAAAUUUGCUACAAUUGUAUCAGCGGUCACCUCCCUAAUAGUAGGAUUAGUCUUUUGGUUCGUGAUUAUAGUUUUUCGAAAUCAGGUUGCCCUGAUCUUCACCGCCAGUCCAUUGGUUCUCACUGCCGUCAACAAACUGUCUGUCAUAUUGGCCUUCACCAUUCUCCUCAAUAGCAUCCAACCAGUUCUUUCUGGUUAGACCAUUAGACCCUUUGCCAUAAAUUUAUAAACCUUUAACUGAUAUAGUUUCAUACUUUCAUAUCUUUCACAACCUUUCUCCAUCCUCAGGAGUGGCUGUUGGAUCUGGAUGGCAAGUGAUUGUGGCUUAUAUAAACAUAGGAUGCUACUAUAUAAUCGGAGUCCCUCUUGGAAUUUUAAUGGGAUGGGUCUUCCAUUUUGGCAUUGAGGUAUGUUUUUGUGAUGUUACGUGCUUAAGAAUUUAGAAUGAAAUGCAAGACCAGCGACAUAGUGUAGAAUAAAGCCCAGUAGUAUACCAGUUACUUGACUAUAAUAUAACGUUAUAAUGUGAAGAUUGGUUGAGCAGGUUUCCUUGUUAUCAAAGUUUUAUCAUGUUCGUUUUCUUUAAAUGCAAAUUUGCAAUGUCUCAAUAUCCACCCCUGGACUUUGAGAAGGUGAUUAACGCAAUAAAGACAUUUGAGAAGUUAGGUUGGAAAACCCAUAUUAGACAAGUUUGGUUUUUGUAAUGUCUUUUUUGGCUUUCAACUCAUUUGAAUUGUCAAUAUCAUAAACUAAGGAGUGCUGCCUUAAAAGAGAAACAUGGAAUUAUCCCACUGAAAGAAAGUUUAUUUUGUCUUGAAUAUGUGCAAAAACCUUGUUUCCAAAGGUUGUAGCUCUUUGUGCUAUAGACACUUGCAUUAUCCUUCUUUUGAUAAACUGUCUAGUGUCUUAAUCAUUGAUCUUCCUGGUGUUCUUUCCUCCACUAAUUAUUAUCAUGGUUUACAUAUGAGUAAAUGCCUCAGAUCUCAUUGUUAGUGCUAAUUCAUGAGAAUGAAUGAACAGGGUGUUUGGGUGGGGAUGCUCAGUGGAACUGUUGUACAGACAUUGAUAUUAACCUUCAUCACACUUAAAUUUAAUUGGAAAAAGGAGGUAACAUGGAGACUACGAUAACAUUUAUCAGUUAUGUUGCUUAAUUCUCUAUUGCAUGUUAUAGUAGUUUUGUAAGUAUCAUGUGGAUUCUAUUCGUAGGCUGAACAAAGAAGGUGAGAUACCAUGUGAAGCUGUUGGUAUGCUGAUCCAUUGAUCAAGAGUGAUGGUUGAUUACCAACGCAAGAGCAAAGGGGUGACAUUUUGGGCUCGGUUGCAAUUACAAAUCUCAACAGAACUUUAAACUUCCAAGUUCCAUCAGAGCUUUACCACCACUUUACAAACCUACAGCUUCUCAUGAUAUUGAAUACAAAUGUAGUUUAAGAUUACGUAUUUAUGAUUGUGAUACACUGCCCUGUUGUUUGCACAACAAAUUGACCAAAAUUUUCUGAUAGGAUUGUACCAAAACUAAGGUUGUCGAAGGGGUAUUGUUGUCUUGGCAUGUGUCAUCACAAUCAAAAUUUCUACCAUUAUAGCAGCAUCCAUUUCAGAACAAACAAAAGUUCAAUAUUGUAGUAUUUGAUGACACAAACAAGUUCUGAAUAAUGAAUAUUGGAUGACUUUUCAGAACUUGCAUUUCAGAACUAAUUUGAAAUUUGAUUUAGAGAGAAGUUAUAUGCUAGUUUGUAUUAUACUUUUCAAAGGAUGGUACAGUUGUGAAGGGCCAUGAACCUUACCUACAAGGAGAUACCACAAUAAAGUGAUGUUAGAUAUUGGACCACUGAAAAGUAAACAGUCGAAUACCAUCAAACUUGAGAUCAAAUAGAUCCAGAUAUCUGACCAGCAUAACGGAUCAGUUUAUCUUGAAGCAUUCAGAUUCUUGGUCUUUCACCAAUAAGUUAUUCUCUGCACAAGUUGUUAUCUUAAAUCGCUUCACUGCGACUUUUUUUUUUUCUGUUAUUGUAAGAUGCUGCAAUGACCAGAGUCUGACCAGAGAAUUAGAUAAUGUUAAGGUCAUGAUCAAUAUAGUCAUUGAAAGGUGUAAAUUGUUAGAAAUUUAGAACAUUCCAAUGGUUGGCCAUCUUUUCUAUUGUAGCCGUGUCGAAUCCAUACUCUUUGCACAUAAAAACAACCUCGUUCACAAGUUGCUUAAGUGCUUAUGAACAAAAGAACAAUGAUUCAAGAUUUCAAGGUGACAAAAAUUGUUGGAACAGGUCACUAGCUAACUCAUAUCCAGAAAAUAUUAGUAAAUAUCGAAAAAAUCGAACAUAUCGAUAAAUAUCGGCCGAUAUUUUACAGAAAUUUCAAAGGAUAAAUAUCAGGAAUAUAUCGUAUCGUUUUCUUUUAAAACCGAUAUAUAUAUCGCGAUAUUUUGUACUAUGGUCAUUACUGUGCCACUGCGGUCUGAUGAUCUUUGAUUGUUGUGUACCCAAGAUUGUUUGUUGGUUUUGUAUGUCAAUUGGGGAUAUUAUUGAGUAAAACAAAUGGAUUUUACCCCAUAUAUAGUAAAAACUAAAUACGAUAAUCGCAACAUGACAGUAAUAAUGAUCUUUACAUCAACAUAGUAUCCACAAAUUUGUGUACAAAUUGAAUUGAACUUGCCAUGUGCCCUGGAAAAAAGUUUGUCUAUCAACAUGAACAAUUACAUGAUCUACAAGGUUAGAAGAAAAUGAAACUAUAUUUUUUUCUAAACUUUUAUUUUAUCUAACCAUUAGAUGUUGAUGUGUUUCGAAUCAAUAACCUCUCUUAUUCUUUGUGAGAGAGAUGCAUGGAUGAACACUUGAGCCAAAUGCUUGUAUGCAAGAAAAUAAAAGUGUUAGUCAGUUUACCUAUUAUAUAUAUAUGUCACAUUAUCAUCUUUCCAAGAAUAUGUAUGACUGUAGUUUGCCAAUUGUGUUUGUGAAUGUGUUGCACUCAAAAUUAACAGCUUGACAUCCUUGCUGACCUAUACACAACAUUUACUGUAGUACGUGGCUUUUUUAGUGACUAUAAAUUCCAACUAUUUUUCAUCAAUAAGGUCUGAUCCGAUUCUCCCUCUUAAGACAGAAAAUAGAAAGAAAAAAAAGUAAUUAAAGAUGGAGAGCAAGAACACCAAAGGUGAAGAAACUGUCCCUUUGUUAGAAGAUUCAUCAUUAGCAAUAGUUCAUGAAUUCAAAGAAGGUGAUGAAGAAGAUAAUCUUAAUCAAGAUUUAGUAACAAGAGUUUGGAUUGAAUCUAAAAAACUAUGGCACAUAGUUGGUCCUGCCAUCUUUAGCCGUAUUGCUUCUUUUUCUAUGAAUGUUAUUACUCAAGCAUUUGCUGGUCACUUGGGUGAUCUUGAACUUGCUUCUAUGUCCAUUGCAAACUCUGUUAUUGUUGGUUUCAACUUUGGUUUCUUGGUAAGUAUUAUAUUACUCCAAUUGCUCAUUUGAGAUACUGUUUUUGUUUAAAAUCAGCUUGUAACAUUUUUUUGCGUUAUUUAGUUAGGUAUGGCGAGUGCGUUAGAAACACUAUGUGGACAGGCAUUUGGAGCAAAGAAGUAUAACAUGAUGGGGGUUUACAUGCAACGUUCAUGGAUUGUUCUGUUUGUUUGUUCUGUUCUGCUUCUUCCCAUGUACAUAUUUGCUACUCCAAUUUUAAAACUAUUAGGACAACCAGAUGAUGUCGCAGAACAAUCAGGAUUAGUAGCAAUAUGGAUGAUUCCUCUUCAUUUUUCAUUUGCUUUUCAAUUCCCUUUACAAAGAUUUCUUCAAAGCCAACUUAAGACAGGAGUUAUAGCUUGGGUGUCAUUGGUGGCUUUGAUUGUUCAUAUUUUUGUUAGUUGGUUGUUUGUGUAUAAACUUCAGUAUGGAUUAAUUGGUACUGCAGUUACCUUGAAUUUCUCUUGGUGGGUUUUGGUAUUCGGAUUGUUUGAUUAUACUGUUUGUGGUGGAUGUCCUUUAUCUUGGUCUGGUUUCUCUACUCAAGCCUUCUCUGGACUUUGGGAGUUUCUCAAACUGUCUGUAGCUUCUGGAGUUAUGUUAUGGUAGCCGUUUCUCUCUUCCCGUGAUCUAGUAUUCAAUUAAUUUAUGAGUUGAAUAUAUACCAAAUCACCUGACUAAUUUUCUUCCCUAGACGAAAAGUGUCUAAUAAUCGAUCUGUAUGGCAUGGAACAUGAUAAUGGCGUUGCUUUUUAGUAUUUCUCUUGUUUCGUUCUGGUUAACAUUUCUGCAAAUAAGCAUUCCAUGUGAUAAUAUUGAAGUCGAUCAGUACAUGUUUAAUUUAUAUAUACUUCUGACCCACAUUCUUUAUUUACACAAUUCCGUUCGCAGUUUGGAGAACUGGUACUACAGAAUACUAAUACUGAUGACUGGCAAUCUAAAAAAUGCUAAGAUUGCAGUGGAUGCACUAUCAGUCUGGUAUAUAUGCCCCAUCCUCUAUAUUGUUUAUUGAUCUCAAUUUUCUAUUAUAGUUUGGAAUCUAUUUCUUCACUCAUGUUGUUGUAGUCUCACAUGAAGAAAUAUUCUGCUUUCUCGGCUAACAUUCUCACUAUGUCUUCUUUUGGUUCCUGAUUAAUUUUAACAGUCAAAGCAUCAAUGGAUGGGAAAUGAUGAUUCCACUGGCCUUUUUUGCUGGUACUGGGUAUGUAUGAAUAUGACCCUUAACAACUUUAGAUUCCAUUGAUCUGUGCUUUAAGGCGAACUGCCACCCACCUCUUGUUAACACAUACCUCGAGUUAUGUACAAGAAACUGAUAUGAUAUGCACUUGGAGCUUUUGUAGUAAAGUUUAAUCAAUGGUGGGGGUACCACCCGUCCUGCCGUAUGUGGACACAUCUUUCACUUUCACUUAGGAGGCUGGGUCCAUGAACUAUAAGAUCUGUUUCCUAGGAACGUAUACAGUUUUGAUACCAAUUACCAAAUGCCUACUUGCUCUUGGGAACUCUCGAGUUGGGGAUGAGCUUAUAGUAACCGCCACUUUUUAAGCGAAUUUCUACUAGAAAAUCUUAUAAGCCUGUAACUACCCAUAAAAACAAUCAAGAUUUUGGGUUUUCUUGUAGGUUAUAAGCUAUCAGAAGUUUGUAUAACCGAAACAAAUUUCAGUCCCAAGGUUUCUACGCAGAAUUCUUUUUCCAACAAAGUCAAUAUAGUUUAGGCAACCAAAAUGUUACACUUCACAUUCUCGGCACAAAAUAUUGAUUGUGCUGUAGCUGGAUGUGGAUUGCCAGGGUAUGUGACAAUCUAAAGAUACUGUAGUUUUGUUGUUGGAUAUAUCAUCCGAAAAUUGUGAAUGAAUAUCUUGACAUAAUGAUAUGUACUCAUGUAGACCCCCAAGAAAAUUCAAUAUAGAGGAGAUCGUUCAACUAAGAUAUUUAAGACUUUGUACAAUUUCAAACAUGGCGCACUAGUGUUUUCAGUUUGUCAAUUGAUAAUAGUAUCUACUGAACAUGUUCUGAAUUCUGAAUAAUCAACGAGUUUGGUUUGGCAAAUUGUGGUGCAGAGUGAGAGUUGCAAACGAACUUGGAGCAGGAAAUGGUAAAGGAGCAAAAUUUGCAACAACUGUGUCAGUGAUUACCUCAAUAAUCAUUGGGCUAAUAUUUUGUGUUUUCAUCGUGGUUUUCCACGACAAAAUCGCCCUUAUUUUCACUUCAAGUACUGAAGUCAUCAACGCAGUUGACAAGCUUGCUAUCUUAUUAGCAAUCACCGUUCUGCUCAACAGUGUUCAACCAGUUCUCUCUGGUGAGCAAACUGUCAUAGCUGAUCCUCAACAGAAUCAGGUUAUACUUUCGCAGAGCCAAGUGCUUCUGAUUUCAUCUAACUUGAGCAAUUUAUAUAGGGGUGGCUAUUGGAUCUGGAUGGCAAGCAUUUGUGGCUUACAUCAACAUAGCCUGCUACUACAUUGUUGGAGUCCCUCUUGGAAUUUUGAUGGGAUGGGUCUUUCACUUCGGUGUCAUGGUAAGGACUAAGGAUUACAUGUUCAGUGUUUAUUUAAUUAACCAAAGAAGUAAGAAGUACCUCUCGCAGCAUUACGUUGGUGGACAGGAACCUGAUCUGAAGUCAUCUGGUUGAAUCCAUUGGCUCAUUUCUGUACUGUAAGUGCAAACAUGAGCCAAUCUAGAACAUCACUGAUGUGUACGCAUUGGUGUACGUACAAAUCUUAUAAUUAAAAUGCCAGUCAUAGCUCUAAAGUUCAAAAGUAAUGAAAGUGCAGCUAUAUUUGUUAACCCUAUUUUACUUAUGUGCGUGAAACAAAACUGUUUACAGGGAAUAUGGUCAGGGAUGAUUGGUGGGACUGCAGUUCAAACAUUGGUAUUAGUCUACAUAACCAUCCGUUGCGACUGGGACAAGGAGGUAAUGAUUGAUUCAAGAAAGAAAUACAUACUACAUAGACCGCAACACUAUAGCUUUUGCAUUUCUAAUUCUAUUCUACUGUUUGUUAUUCUGCAGGCCAAGAAAGCUAGUUCAGACAUGGAGAAAUUGGACAGGUAGUAAAUGAAAAUAAGCAUCCAGAGAUUGACAGGAAGAAAGGCUGGACGCCUGGACGUUUCAAAGGGGUUAUGUGGCCAAUCAAUUCAAUCCCCAAAUCGGGUUAAACCGACAAAGCUAUAUAUGAUUUUUGCCUUUCGGUACCCAGUUACCAUUUAUAAUGACAAAAUCAAAUUAUAUACAGGGCUAGGUGUUCAUCGAUGGAAUGCAGACUGUUCUUUAGGCCUAUAUCAACAGAUCAAAUUGUCAACAUUUUGAUCCAAAAACAUAUUUUUCUAGUUGCACCAGAGUUCAGAAACCAAUAUGGAUUUUGAAUUAUCAAUUAAAGAAAUUUUUAUUUAAUCUGAACCCAUAUGUUGUUUUUCUUUACAAUCCAAAUUAAAAUUUAAAAGAGAAAGGUAAUCAGACAAAUAACACCCAUCCAUCCCCAUUAUCCAUGAGUGAUUUUUGCCUUUUCCUUACAAAGUUAUCAAUUAUCAUUAAAGGAUAAAAUUAAAUUAUUUACACUGCUCACUGCUCACUGCUUAUUGAUCCAAUGUAGAAUGUUCUAAACCAAUAUAUAAUGAUCAGUAGAUGAAAUUAUCAACAUUUUGAUACAAAAUCAAUUGAACCUAUAAUUUAUUUUAGGAAACAUCCAAUGUGACCAAUUUAUGGACCCUAGAUGCCAAUAAAAUUAUAGAUUCAUUGAAAAAUCAGCGUGUACAACACCAUCAGGUGGUAAAACCCACCUACAUGAAAUCUAAUCCCAAAUAUUCGACAACUGAAACACAAUGCUUUGGUAACUUACAUGAAGUCUGAUAUUGUUUAUGUUGAUCACCAUUGAUUAAGCUUCUGGUGAUUAACAUAACAAUAUCAAAUUUCAUUUCAUGUUAUCUAAGCAUUGUGCUUCAGCUGUUGAAUCUUUGACCAAUUUUCUAUAGGAAGCUUGGUCAAUAGUGAGUUGACCAGCUCGACUCUCAAUUUGGCAUUUUGGGGUAUCACCAAUUAAAGUUCAAAUGGGGGAGGGGUAUCUCAACUUUAAAGUUUCAAAUGGGGGUAUAUCCAAAAAUCUCUUAAAAUAAAUAUUUCCAAAAACAAAGAUUCAUAAAUUAUUUCUGGCCAAUUAUUAUAUAAUCUCUUUAAGUUUGGUUUCAUAUUUUGAAUUUCCCAACUUCCAUACUUGGAAGGAACAGAGAAAGAGAAUGUAACAACAAAAUAGUCAAGUUGAUAGGAUUACCUCAGGACCUCAGGUUACCUUAAGUUUGUGUCAGCUACUCCAACUCUUAUAUCCGCCUUUCACAAAUCUCUUUCAGUUUCUUUAAUCACAUUUUUGACUUUUAUAUUCUUGAAAGCUGGAUGUCCACAACAAUUUGAUUGGAUUUAUACUGGUUUGGUUCUCUCAAGAGAGAAGAAGAUAGAAAAAAGACAAGUACACAAAACUAAUCAAAGAUGGAGAAAAAAGACAUCAGAAUAGGAGCAGAAAAAGUCCCUUUGUUACAAAAUUUCUCAGAAACACUUGAACUCAAAGGAGAUGUAGGAGAUAAUGUUAAUCAAGAUUUAACAACAAGGGUGUGGAUUGAAUCUAAGAAACUAUGGAACAUAGUUGGUCCUGCCAUCUUUAGCCGCGUUGCUGCUUAUUCUAUGCUUGUUAUUACUCAAGCCUUUGCAGGUCACUUGGGUGAUCUUGAACUUGCUUCUAUUUCCAUUGUACUUAAUGUUGUUCUUGGUUUCGACUUUGGACUCCUGGUAAGUAUUUCAUUCUACAACUUUUAACUUGCUUUUUAAAUUCGGAUUUCUCGUUUUUGUAAUGUUUCUUCAUUUCUUUCCUUGAUUAUUUAGUUAGGCAUGGCGAGUGCAUUAGAAACACUAUGUGGGCAAGCAUAUGGAGCAAAGAAGUACAGCAUGUUGGGGGUAUACAUGCAACGUUCAUGGAUUGUUCUAUUUAUUUGUUCUGUUCUGUUGCUCCCCUUGUACAUAUUUGCUACUCCAAUUCUAAAACUAUUAGGCCAACCAGAUGAUGUUGCAGAACAAUCAGGAUUAGUUGCAAUAUGGAUGAUUCCUAUUCACUUUUCGUUUACUUUCCAAUUCCCUUUACAGAGAUUUCUUCAAAGCCAACUUAAGAAUGCAGUUAUAGCUUGGGUGACAUUGGUGGCUUUGAUUAUCCAUAUAUUUAAUAGUUGGUUUUUCGUGUAUAGACUACAGUUGGGGUUGAUUAGUACUGCAGUCAUUUUAAAUUUGUCCUGGUGGAUAAUGGUUUGGGGAAUGCUUGCUUAUUCUAUUUGUGGUGGAUGUCCUUUAACUUGGUCUGGUUUCUCUACUCAAGCUUUUUCUGGACUCUGGGAAUUUCUUAAACUAUCUGCUGCUUCUGGUGUGAUGUUAUGGUAUGUCCUCAGUAUCUUUCCUCUUCAUCGAUCCAAUCCUUGUUUCUCAGAAUCAAACAUGUCGCGAUCUGAGUAUCUGUGUGAUGGAAUAUGCCAUGAGUGUGUUCAAAUCCACGCGAAUAUCGUGUGUUAUGUUCAAUUAGGUGCAGAAAUAGUAUCAAUAACACAUCUUCAUUCUGUUUUAUUGCAAUCACUGCUUUCUGAAACUCAUAAUGGUGCUAGUUGGUCGGGAGCUUCCGUUGGUGGGCAGUUGGGAUAUCUGGCUCGCAUUCGUCUAUUCCACUUGUUCCCUAUUAUAAAUUACUUUUAGUUUCUGAUCACAUGUAAAUAAUUGUGUGUAGUGGUAUUUUUUUACAGCUUGGAGAAUUGGUACUACAGAAUUUUGGUACUGAUGACCGGCAAUUUAAAGAAUGCUAAGAUUGCAGUUGAUGCUCUCUCAGUCUGGUAUAUGACUAUAUGUAUCCCUACCCCCUCUGCAUUUUUGUUUCCAUUGAUUUUUCUGUAAUAGUAGGCUAGAAUAUACUUUCAAGUUCAUGCUGUAUUUACAAGAAGUUGAUAUUUUGUUACAGUUUCUUAUAAUGUAAUUUUUGGUUCCUAUUUAAUUUUGACAGUCAAUCUAUCAAUGGAUGGGAACUGAUGAUUCCUCUAGCCUUCUUUGCUGGUACUGGGUACGAUUUUAACAACUUCAAUUCUAUUACAUUAUGCUUUGAGGUAAAACUAGCUAGGAAAAAUUCAAGCAUGUCCAGUUUCUGCUACCUUGAAUCUAGUCUAGAUUCAUUUGAAACUGUAAAGUAAUGCGUGUUUUAGUACACGUAAGGAAGUACGAGAAAACCACAAUCUUAAAUAUUAAGUAAUAAAAAAAAAAUUACGACAAAAAAAACAAGUUACAAAUGUUGUACAUUAUUGGUUGGCCAUCGAUCAACUAUAUUCAUCUCAUUAGAAAUGAAUUACCCGCAUAGCUUAAAAGAAGACCAACAUGAGUACAUGACAUUGGGAUAUUGCUGGCUGGAUUACACCACUAACCGCGUACAUUACAAAUUACAUUCAUAUCAGAUUCAGGGCAAUUAAUUUAGGCCAAUAACAUGAGCACUAUAUGUUUUCAGUAGGUAAAUUGAUGACAGGAUCGGAUCUACAUACCAAACACGUUGAACAUAAGUAAUGAGUGUGGUUUGGUAUGAAUUGUGAUGCAGAGUGAGAGUUGCAAACGAACUUGGAGCAGGAAAUGGCAAAGGAGCAAGAUUUGCAACAAUUGUUUCGGUGGUUACCUCAAUUUUGAUUGGGGUUGUGUUUUGUGUUUUAAUCGUGGCCCUUCACGACAAAAUCGCAUUUAUUUUCACUUCAAGCACUGAAGUCAUCAAUGCAGUUGAUAAGCUAGCAAUUAUAUUAGCAUUCACCAUUCUCCUCAACAGUGUUCAACCAAUUCUCUCUGGUGAGUUCUUUUAAGUUUUAACACACCCAAAUCCAUUUUAGUAUGUCAGACCUAUGAAGUAAAAUCUGUUUUCGUGGAAAAAAAACAUUGAGUAAAUGGCAUGGCUAAAGGCAUGAACCGCCACUGAGUCGGUUCAUAUUUAAUGUGAAUCCACACUUACCGAACCCUACUGCUGAUCUCGUUUAAUAAUUCACAAUUUAUGUAGGGGUUGCUGUUGGAUCAGGAUGGCAAGCAUAUGUGGCCUACAUCAACAUUGGUUGCUACUACAUCAUUGGUGUCCCUCUUGGAAUUGUAAUGGGAUGGGUCUUUCAUUUAGGUGUCAUGGUAAGGACUUAAACUUACAGGGUCAACUACUUCUCGGGACUUUGGAUGUGUGCGAAAUCUGCAGUAUUCUGGUUUAGCUCAUGUCUGUUACAUUAGACAUAAGCCAAUCUAGAGCACCAAUAUAGCAGUACAUAUCUCGUGAAUUUGACAGUCCAAAUUUGAGUCACACAAUUCAAGCUCUAUAAUCUGAAAUUAAUAUAAAACGCAUAUGUUCUAGAUUCCAAAAUUAGUCCAAAAUUUGUUUAUUAUUACUAACAGGCUUGUUUGAAUCGUUCACAGGGUAUAUGGUCUGGGAUGAUUGGUGGGACUGCAGUUCAGACGUUGAUAUUGGUCAUCAUUACAAUUCGUUGCGACUGGGAUAAAGAGGUAAAAAAUGAUCAAGAAAAUGAACAGAAGUACGUACACAUUUUUCGCUUCUUUAAAUCUGAUUUGCAUUAAUCUGGUUUGGUGUUCUGCAGGCUGAGAAAGCUAGCUCACAUAUGGAGAAAUUGUCCAGUGGUUAAUGAGGAAAAUAGGCAUUAGCAAGUUUUUUAGAAUAAAGCUGCCGUUGAUAGCAACAUGUGUGAACUAUUAUUUUCGUACCAAUUAGCCUCUAUGCACAAUAAUGAAGUCUCUAUUGUGCUCAUUGUUCGAAUACACAAUGUUCUAAAACAACUACAAUCGGCUGAUCAAUUUUAAACAUGUUAAUACAAUAGCACCAUAUUCAAAGACUUGCACAUUUGUGUUGAAGCCAUUUGUUCACAACUAUGAUUUACACCAAUAAAGGUGUAAUCAAAGCUUACCUUGAAGAAUAAUUAGUACACAAUACCAAGAAGAAACCACUACUAGAACACCAAUUCAAGUAAACAAGAUAAUGAAAUUCAAACACUCACCACACAAGAUUUAACGUGGUUCGGCAUACGCCUACAUCCUCGGGGCAAUGUUCUCCAUUCGACUAUCUAAAAUCCAAAUCAAAAUUCGAAAGAGAAAGAUAAUCAGACUAAUUAACAUUCAUUGUCUUUAGACUGGUAGUCUGUAUGUACAGUGUACUAAAGAUUAAGUGAACAAACAGGAGAAUUAACCGCAGCAAGAACUGGUUUCUGCAUAACAGUCAUCUAAACGCGCGUAAAUCCACCGCAACGCGGUUUGCGGAAACUGAACAAGGUCAUCAACAAGUACGUAGGUUCGAGAAGCCCUAGUUUGAAUUCUGUUUUCUUCAAAACUUGUAAUUCCUUCUCAGAAGCUUGAUUUUAAAUGGUUUCAGAAGUACCUUUGCAUUUGAACUCAAUACUUUUGAAUUAAAUAUUGAGAAAAUCAAUUGACAUGAAAGAAAGAACUUUAAAGGGAGCAAGGUAAUUGGACAGCUUCUAAGUUCUAAGGCCACUUGAUUGAUUGAUUGAUUGUUUUAACACUCUAAAGAAAUAUAAUUGAAUGGAAGUAUGGUAACAUUUUAUUAAUGCAAAUUUGAAGAAAGAUUUAAGUAUUAGUAAUUGUGAUUUUUAGGAUAAUAUAAUAUAUAAAUUGUUCUUUUCUAUUAUCUAAUACUAGUACAGUAGUAUGUUGUUUUAUGAGUAUCUACAAAAUGGCUGAAUUACGGUUUGUAAAAUGUCAAAGCUAAUAAACUAGGGGGAUUUUUAGACUUAACCCUCCCUUUUAUGGUCACGUUUUGAGUAAACCUCUUUAUUUGUCCAAGUUUGGACUUUACCCCUUCUCCGUCUACUUCUGUCAAAUUUAACGUCUAUUUUUAUUUUUUCUUCCUAAAAUACCCCUUUCUCAUAUUUUUAGGGGGUCAAGUCUAAAACAGCAAUCGAGGACAUUUUGGGAAUUUACAAACAAAAUUGACGUUAAAUUUGAUAGAAACAGGCGGAGAGGGGGUAAAGUCAAAACUUGGACACAUGGGGGGUUUACUCAAAUCGUGACCAUAAAAGGGGGGUUAAGUCUAAAAAUCCCUAAACUAGGUAUCACAAAAUGACAUUUGAAUGGGAUGCAUCGAUGCAGAAUGCACUAAGAUUUUUCUUGCAGCUGUAGUAUAGAGGUUGCAUUUGUCCAUGGCAUCCUCAAAUUCAAAAAUACCAAUAGUUCAUCAAUUCGAUCCUGGGCAUAUGGAAUGCAACUACAGGUAAAUUAUUACUGUUUGCGACAAGCUUGAGUAAUAUGUUAAACAAUAGCUUUAAAGUUUUGAAUUCUGUGAUUCACACAGGUUAAGGUAAUAUAAAUCUUGGAAAGAUUUGGUUGCAAUGAGAAACUCGAGCUUCAACCACGGAACUGUUGCUUCUUCACUGGGCUGGCAUUUACCGGGGUACAGACGUAAGUCCCUAGCUUGUUAGGUAGUGUUUUGUAGUUUUGAGAUCUAUCAGCAUGCAAUAACCUCUGCCUCUCUUACAGGAUUUGGGUUCUUCCAGCUGAUCGUCCUGUUUGGUCUUAACUCUUUAAAUAAUAUAUGCAUUACAAACACCAUUCCAUUUUUGAAGGGUUAUCUUUCUUCCUCAAUCCUCCUCCUUUUUAUUUAUUGCUUUGGACUUCCAUAUUCUAUACCACAAUAUAAUGGCAUUUCAUAUUUGAUUUUAAGCUGACAUAUUUCUUGUAUUGUAGAGUGCUGACCGUCUAUUCGCGGGACUGGGAGCUUCAUUCUAUUGUUUUUGCUUUAAAUGGGUGAUCCUUUAAUUUUCUCUCAAAAUAAUUGCUCUAUUGUGUGUUUAUGACAAUAGACAAAUAUUUUUAUGCAAUAAUUGAUGCCUGUUUCUGUUCUAUUGUUCUGUAAAAGGCUAAAACUAAACCAACAGAAUUUUGAAAACAGUUAGGUAACUCACUGAUCAACAUGAGUAGCAUUUAAUAUUGCUAACUUGUAAAGGACUUGGGGUCCAAUUUGUAGUAUGUAUGUUGUCUAGUGUAGAUUUUUAUUAAAAAUAAAUGGAUCUUUAAGUAUGUUGAUAGGAUUAACUUAGUCCUCAGGUUACCUUAAGUCCUUAAGUUUGUGUCAGCUUGAUUCACUUCUCAGUUCUCACUUCUCACAAACAACAACUCUUAUAUUUAUGUGGCUUUCACCAAACUCUUACAUUAUUUUUGCUGAUAUUGUUCUCUCAAGAGAGAAGAAGAUAGAAUGGAGAACCAAGACACCAGAAUAGGAGAAGAAACAGUCCCUUUGUUACAAAAUUCCUCAGAAACAGUACUUGAACACAAAGGAGAUGUAGGAGAUAAUGUUAAUCAAAAUUUAGCAACAAGGGUAUGGAUUGAAUCUAAGAAACUAUGGCGCAUAGUUGGUCCUGCCAUCUUUAGUCGUAUUGCUUCUUAUUCUAUGCUUGUUAUUACUCAAGCAUUUGCAGGUCACUUGGGUGAUCUUGAACUUGCAUCUAUUUCCAUUGCAACUUCUGUUGUUGUUGGUUUCAACCUUGGACUCCUGGUAAGUAUUUCUAGCUAUAAUCAUUUCUUCUCUUAAAAUUCGGGUUUCUCAUAAUUUCAAUCUUUCUUCGUUUGUUUGUUUGCUUGAUUAUUUAGUUAGGCAUGGCGAGUGCGUUAGAAACACUAUGUGGGCAAGCAUAUGGAGCAAAGAAGUACAGCAUGAUGGGGGUUUACCUGCAACGUUCAUGGAUUAUUCUGUUUAUUUGUUCUGUUCUGCUCCUCCCCAUGUACAUAUUUGCUACUCCAAUUCUAAAAGUAUUGGGCCAACCAGAUGAUGUUGCAGAGCAAACAGGAUUAGUUGCUAUAUGGAUGAUUCCUGUUCACUUCGCCUUUACUUUCCAAUUCCCUUUACAGAGAUUUCUUCAAAGCCAACUUAAGAAUGCAGUUGUAGCUUGGGUGACAUUGGUGGCUUUGAUUGUUCAUAUAUUUAAUAAUUGGUUCUUUGUGUAUAGACUUAAGCUUGGGUUGAUUGGUGCUGUAGUCAUUUCAAAUAUUUCCUGGUGGAUUAUUGUUUUGGGAAUGUUUGGUUAUACUAUUUGUGGUGGAUGUCCUUUAACUUGGUCUGGUUUCUCUACUGAAGCUUUUUCUGGACUCUGGGAAUUUCUGAAAUUAUCUGCAGCUUCUGGUGUGAUGUUAUGGUAUGUGCUCAACUGCUCAUUAUCUUUCCUCUUUGAUCCCCUCCAUGUUUCUCAUAAUCAAACAUGUCGAUAUGAGUAUUUGUGUGAUGGAAUAUGUCAUGAGUGUGUUCAAAUCCAUGUGAGUAUUGUGUGUUCAAUUAGGUGCAGAAAUAGUAUCAAUAACACAUCUUCAUUCUGUUUUUUCCAAUCACUGGUUUCUGCAACUCAUAAUGGUGCUAGUUGGUGGGCAGUUGGAAUAUCUGCCUCGCAUUCUUCUAUUCCACUUGUUCCAUGUUAUGAAUUGCCUUUAGUUUCCGAUCACAUGUAACUGUGUAUCGGAAUUUUUUACAGCUUGGAGAAUUGGUACUACAGAAUAUUGGUACUGCUGACCGGCAAUUUAAAGAAUGCUAAGAUUGCAGUUGAUGCUCUCGCAGUCUGGUAUACCCUAUCCCCCUUUUCUAAUUUUUUCUCCAUUGAUUUUUCUGUAAUACGGAGUACUAGACUAAAAUUUAUUUUCAAGCUCCUGUUGUAUUUACAAGAAGUUGAUAUUCUGUUUCACAAAUUCUCAUUGUGUCAUACUGUCAUCUUUGAUUCCUAUUUCAUUUUGACAGUCAAUCUAUCAAUGGAUUGGAAAUUAUGAUUCCUCUAGCAUUCUUUGCUGGUACUGGGUACGAUUUUAACAACUUAACUUCUAUUUCAUUCUGCUUUUAGGUGAAACUAGCUAGGACUUUUAUUUUGAUUAUAAAUUUUUGAAAAACAAAAUUCAUGCAUGUCAAGUUCUUGCAACCUUGAAUCAAGAUAUAUUUAAAACUGUAAAGUAAUGCAGGUUUUAGUAGUAAGAAGAUAUGAAAAAACCAAAAUCGUAAGUUACAAAUGUGGUACAUUAUUUGGUUGGCCAUCCACUAAUAUUCAUUUCUUUAGAUACAAACACACAAAACCAAUGACUGCAUAGCACAAAAGAAGACCAACAUGACAAUGGCACUUUGCUGGCUGUAUUACACCACUGACCACACAAAUUACAAAUGACAUUCAUAUCAGAUUCAGGGCUAUCAAUGUAGACCAAUAACGUGCAUGUGAACUAUAUGUUUUCAGUAGGUAAAUUGAUGACAGGGUCGGUUCUACCAAAGAUGUUGAAAAUAAUUAAUGAAUGUGGUUUGGUAUGAAUUGUGAUCCAGAGUGAGAGUUGCAAACGAACUUGGAGCAGGAAAUGGCAAAGGAGCAAAAUUUGCAACAAUUGUUUCGGUGGUUACCUCAAUUUUUAUUGGGGUCAUAUUUUGUGUCUUAAUCGUGGUCCUCCACGACAAAAUCGCAUUUAUUUUCACUUCAAGCACUGAAGUCAUCAAUGCAGUUGAUAGGCUAGCAAUUAUAUUAGCAUUCACCAUUCUCCUCAACAGCGUUCAACAAUUCUCUCUGGUGAGUUUUUCAACACAUCCAAAUCCAUUUUAGUAUGUUAGAUCUAUAAAGUAAAAAUGUGAUUUCAAAUCUAUAUACUUGUGUCAUGAUGUAAUGUGGCUAAAUUGAUAGCCCUGAAUCUACACAUCCAUGCUUACCGAUAUUCACAAUUUAUGUAGGGGUGGCUGUUGGAUCAGGAUGGCAAGCAUAUGUGGCCUACAUCAACAUUGGUUGCUACUACAUCAUUGGUGUCCCUCUUGGAAUUGUAAUGGGAUGGGUCUUUCAUUUAGGUGUCAUGGUAAGGACUAAAACUUACAGGGUCAACUAUUCUUCUGGUUGAGCUCAUGUCUGUUAAAUCUGAGUCACGAUUCAAGCUCUAUAAUCUGAAAAUAAUAUAAACACAUACGUUCCAGAUUCCAAAACUGGUCCUAAAUUUAUUUAUUGUUACGAACAGGCUGACUGAGUCACUGUUGUGUAAAUGGUUCCCAGGGUAUCUGGUCAGGGAUGAUUGGUGGGACUGCAGUUCAGACGUUGAUAUUGGUCAUCAUUACAAUUCGUUGCGACUGGGAUAAGGAGGUGAAAAAUGAUUAGAUGAACAAAUAAAAGUACUUACAAAUUUUUGCUCCUUUAAAUCUGAUUUGCAUCACUCCUGUUUGGUGUUUUGCAGGCUGAGAAAGCUAGAUCACGUAUGAAGAAAUUGUCAAGUGGUUAACAACGGAAAUAGGCAUUUUUAGAAUAAAUUAAGCCGUGGUUGAGAGCAAACAUGUGUGAGCUAUUAUUUUUUUUUUUUUUUUGGUACCAACUAGCCUCUGCGCAAGAACAAAGUAUCUAUAGUGCUCAUUAACUGAUAAUGUUCUAAAACUAGUAUAAUCAAUUGAUCAAUUUUAAAGAAAGCAUGUAUUCAAAGACUUACUCAUAGUUGCACCAGUACGAAUUUGCUGAUCAGACAUUAAAACAAAACAAGCCUGUGGCUCAAUGGUAGCACUCCUCUCACAAAGUGGAGAGGUUUGUGGGUUCGAAACACGUCAACAGCUGAUUGUUGAUAUAAGUUUCCACACGUAAUUUAAAAGGGGUAGGGAUCUCCUCAACCCCGCUUGCCAAUAAAAAAAAAAUACUAAUAGAUGUCAAUUCCUCUAUCCGAUUAACCUUUUUUUUUUUUUUAGAAGCCACUACGUAUAUACCACACUAUAAUUGUAUAUUUGUAUAUCAAUAAAAGUUGUAUUAAGCUGAAAAAAACACACCACUAUAAUGUACGCGAUAAUAUUCAAUCUACCACACGCAAAAUAGAAAAUAAUUUGUACUAUAUGAAAAAAUUCAAUGAACUGCAUUAUAUGUAUGAUUUUUGGUCUCUCCUUUCUGGGUCUGAUCAAAUUAUUAGUUUGCAGAAAUAGUAUCAAUAAUCUGUCUUUAUUCUGUAUCAUCUGCUCCACUUCACUUUUUUUUUUUUUCGAAAUAUGCGGACUUAGUGGUAUAUAUGCCUGUGCUAGUGACUGACUGACUGACUGUCUGUCUAUCCCUCCACCAGUUUAUCAAUCGAUUUCAAUUAACAUAAUCAUCCACUUCAGCUCUCCCCAUGGAAUUCACUUGUAGUAGGUGUUCAGAACCAUAACACUGGUAGCGGAAAAUUUCUGUCUUGCCUGUUGUGUCACAUUGUCAAUUGCAAACCAUUUUAGUUCCCAACUUCCCAUUAUUUGGAAGCAAGAAUGUAUAGCUAUGUUGACAGAAUUACCUCGGGUUACCAUUAGUCCAUUACAAUCUGUAGCAUUUAAGUACAGUUUUAACUUUUAACAUUACCCCAUAUUUCUGUCAGACAUUCUAUCUUCAAUCAUCUCUCAAUCUACAGUACGAACUUUAAACUUUUUAACAAUCCCUUCACCACAUGUUGUUCCAACUGUUUCAUUAAUCACAUAUAAUUUGUUACUUUAUAAUGCUUGAAGAGUUAUCAUAAGCAAAUCUGAUUGAAUAUAGAUUGAGUGAAGAAUUAUUAAACAUGGAGAACAAAAGAGAAAAACUAGUCCCUUUGUUACAAAAUCUAGCAACAACAGUUGAACUCGAAGAAGAUGGAGGAAACAAUUCUGAUCAAGAUUUCGUAACAAGGGUGUGGAAUGAAUCUAAGAUACUAUGGCACAUAGUUGGUCCAUCCAUCUUUAGCCGCGUUGCAACUUUUUCUAUGAGUAUUAUCACUCAAGCCUUUGCAGGUCAUUUGGGUGAUCUUGAGCUAGCUUCUAUUUCCAUUGCAUUCACUGUUGUUGUUGGUUUCAACUUCGGUCUCUUGGUAGGUAUUUUCUUCCAUUACCUCCUUCAAUUUGUUGUCCAUCACAAGAAAUAAAAAAAAAUUCUUCCUAAUUCGUUGGAACUUGGAAAUAUAUAGUUAGGCAUGGCGAGUGCAUUGGAAACACUAUGUGGGCAAGCAUAUGGAGCAAAGAAGUACAGUAUGAUGGGGGUUUACAUGCAACGUUCAUGGAUUGUUCUGUUUAUGUGUGCUGUUCUGCUUCUCCCCAUGUACAUAUUUGCUACUCCAAUUCUAAAACUAUUGGGCCAACCAGACGAUGUUGCGGAACAAUCAGGAUUAGUGGCAAUAUGGAUGAUUCCUUUUCACUUCUCCUUUGCGUUUCUAUUCCCUUUACAAAGAUUUCUCCAGAGCCAACUUAAGACGGGAGUUAUAGCUUGGGUGUCACUGGUGGCUUUGAUUGUUCAUAUUUUUAUUAGUUGGUUUUUUGUUUACAGACUUCAGUAUGGCUUGAUUGGUACUGCAGUUACUUUGAAUGUUUCUUGGUGGAUUUCGGUAUUCGGAUUGUUUGGUUACACUGUUUGUGGUGGAUGCCCUUUAUCUUGGUCUGGGUUCUCUACUGAAGCUUUUUCUGGACUCUGGGAAUUUCUGAAAUUAUCUGCAGCUUCUGGUGUGAUGUUAUGGUAUGUCCUCAUCAUAUUUCCUCUCGAUCUGAGCAUCUGUGUGAUGUAAUAUGGCAUGAGUGUGUUCAUAUCCUAGUGAAUAAUGUGUGUUCAAUUAGGUGCAGAAAUAGUAUCAAUAACACAUCUUCAUCUGUUUUAUUGCAAUCACUGCAUUCUGAAACUCAUGAUGGUGCUAAUUGGUGGGCAGUUAGACUAUCUCGCCCACAUUCUUCUAUUCCACUAGUUUCCGAUCACAUGUAAAUAAUUGUGUCUAGAGGUAUUUCUUACAGCUUGGAGAAUUGGUACUACAGAAUAUUAGUACUGAUGACGGGCAAUUUAAAGAAUGCUAAGAUUGCCGUUGAUGCUCUCUCAGUCUGGUAUACCCUAUCCCCUCUUCUUCUUCUUUUUUUUUUCUAUUGAAUUUUCUGUAAUACUAGACUAGAAUAUAUUUUCAAGCUCAUGGGGUAUUUACAAGAAGUUGAUAUUUUGUUUCACAAAUUCUAAUUAUGUAUUCUUUGGAUCCUAUUUAAUUUGGACAGUCAAUCUAUCAAUGGAUGGGAAAUGAUGAUUCCUCUAGCCUUCUUUGCUGGUACUGGGUACGUAUUUAAAGUUUAAACAACUUCAAUUGUGUUGCAUUCUGCUUGCAGGUGAAACUAGGACCUUUAUUCUGAUAAACUUUUGAUAAACAAUAAAUUAUGCAUUGCCAGUUCCUGCAACCUUGAAUCAAGAUUCAUAUUCUAAACUGUAAAAUAAUACAUGUUUUAGUAGUAAGGAAGGUAUGAAAAAAAAUCGCAAGCUUAAGUUACAAACGUGGUACAUUAUUGGUUGGCCAUGCCAUCCAUUAAUAUUCAUCUCAUUAGCAUUACAAGCUCAAACACAUGAAAGCAACAACCCACAUAGGUUAAAAGUCAGACACAGAGAGAAUGUUGUAUUGGAUAGCUAACUAGACCUUUAACUCUUUAAGUAAGACACUGACAAAACAUGACAGUGACUUCGCUGGCUGGAUUACUCCACAGACAUUACAUUCAUAUCAGAUUCACGGCUAUCAAUUUAGGGCAAUAACUAGGGUAUUCAUGACAUGACGACUCCUUUAACAUGCAAUCAUGCAUGGUGCAUAUUUUGAAAAUAAUUGUUAGCAGGAUCUACUGAAUUGUGAUGCAGAGUAAGAGUUGCAAAUGAGCUCGGAGCAGGAAAUGGCAAAGCAGCAAAAUUUGCAACAACUGUUUCGGUGGUUACCUCAAUAUUCAUUGGCCUCAUUUUUUGUGUUUUAAUCUUGGUCUUCCACGACAAAAUCGCAUACAUUUUCACUACUAGUACUGAAGUCAUCAAUGCAGUUGACAAGCUUGCAAUUAUAUUAGCAUUCACUAUUCUCCUCAACAGUGUUCAACCAGUUCUCUCUGGUGAGUUUUUUUUACACACCCAAAUCCAUUUUUAGUAUGGCCCUGAAGUAAUAUCCGUUCUCGGGGAAGAAAAUCUUUAAAUCUAAAUACAUGUCAUGGCUGAACCGCAGUUCAUUUUUUGUAAACGCAAGGUUACUGGCUUACUGGCCUACUGUCGAUCUCGUGUAAUAAUGCACACUUUAUGUAGGGGUGGCUCUUGGAUCAGGAUGGCAAGCAUAUGUGGCCUACAUCAACAUUGGUUGCUACUACAUCAUUGGUGUCCCUCUUGGAAUUACAAUGGGAUGGGUCUUUCAUUUAGGUGUCAUGGUAAGAACUAAAUCUUACAGGGUCAACUACUUCCCAGGACUUUGGAUGUGUGGACCUGGAGGCUGGAGCCAGAUCUGCAGUCUUAUGAUUGAGCUCGUUUGUUUACAUUAGACAUAGACCAAUGUAGAUCAUCAAUAUGGCAGCACAUUUAUCGUGAAUUUGACAGUGAAAAUUUGACUCACAAUUUAAGUUCUAUAAUCUGAAAUUAAUAUAAACACAUACGUUCCAGAUUUCAAAACUAGUCCUAAAUUUGUUUAUUAUCACUAACAGGCUGACUUGUGUAAAUGGUAUACAGGGUAUAUGGUCUGGGAUGAUUGGUGGGACUGCAGUUCAGACGUUGAUAUUGGUCAUCAUUACAAUUCGUUGCGACUGGGAUAAAGAGGUAAAAAAUGAUCGGAACAACGAAUAGAAAUACAUAUACAUUUCUGAUUUCCAUUACCCUUGUUUGGUGUUCUGCAGGCUGAGAAAGCUAGCUCACAUAUGGAGAAAUUGUCAAGUGGUUAAUGAGGAAUAUAGGCAUUAGCAUUGUUAAGAAAAAGCCGCUAUUGAGGGCACAUAUCAUAUGUGAGCUAUAUUAUUUUUGUUACCAACUAGCACCGUAUUCAAAAGACAUAUACAUCGUUGCACCAGUACAGAAUUUGCUGAUCAAUUCUGUUGUUUCUGAGAGAUCCUUACAUAGCAUGCGCGCAACAAUUUCGUGCAGAGUAUGUAAUAUUUAUGCAAAAUGUAGUACAACACACACUGUAAGCAAUAGCGUGCCGACAACUUUUUUGAUAAUUUACUCUGCAUUUACACAAACUCGCAAAUCGCAAUGUGCACCAGUAUAAAGAUCUAUUAUAGCACCACAAUCCAAAUCACAAUUCAAAGAAAAAAGAAAAAGCUAAGAAGACAAACUAAACUCACUGAAUCCACUUUCAUCUGUUUGCUUUUCACGAAAACGAUUUAACUGUCUCUAAAAUCGGAAACGAACUCAAUCUACCUGAAGUAAACUUUAUAGAGUCAUCUGGACGUAUAACUCGUUCUCCAAACCUAGCUGACUCACUUAUUCCAAAUCUUCUUCCUGUCUUCACAAACCUUCCUUGACAUAAAUCUUUACUUUCUCCAAUCUUCUCUUUCAACUCAUCAACUAAAUCCCAUAUAACAACUCCAAGUGAUCCUUUCUUGUUCAUGAACAACAAUGAAAUCUUUUCUUUACAACUCUCUAAUCUUUUUAAAACACAAACUAAUUCAACUGAGUCAGCAAAACUCAGAUUACUGAUUCUUUCUUCAAGCUCAUUAACUCUGACAAUAAUCUCUCUUUGAGCAAAACACUUGUCUUCUUCAACUAAAUCCAUUGUUUCAUAAACAAGUUUAUUUGCUUGAACAUUUAACAAAUCGGGUGCUUUGCAAAUUUCUUCAUGAAGAUUAACUAAUACAUCUAACUCUCUUAAUAAAUCUUUGUUCAGAAGUGAAGAUAUCCUUUCGACCCUUUCGUUGUCUUUAUCCAUUGAAGAAGAAGUAAGAAAAAAACCCAAUGUUCUUGAAGUAGAUAGAAGAGUUUCUAAAAAUCUAGCAUACCAUCUAACCCAAAAAGACAAAUUCCAUGAUUCAGGUGUAGAAUUAUCACGAAAAUUAGAUAAAUUAAGAUAAUUUCUACCACCAACAGAAGGAUAAAUAGAGAGUUGAUCUUGAAGAAUAAAAGAACCACGUUUAAUAAUAUAAUGAAUAAUUAUUAAACAUUUAAAAGCAACAAAUGAAUUAUGAGUAUUAUGAAGACGAACCAUUAAAGCAUUUAUACAACUUGAAGCUAUAUUUCUUGAACUAUGACCAUAAGAAAGAAUCAUAUUGAUGUGUUUUUGAUUUGGUGGAUUUGAGAUUUCAUGUGUUGUUGAACGAAGAAUUGCUAGAUGCAUAGAUUGAUUGUUUGGUUUUGAAAGAAUAGCUGCUUUACUUAAUGAUACUUUAUCUUUAAUAACACCAAAAACUUCUUUCAAGCUGAGUUUCGUUCUUCUUCCCAUUGAAAACAGAGAGAGAAAAAAAACAGAGUAAAGAUGAGUUAAAGAAGAAAGUGAAACAGAGUUGAAAGAUGCCAUUAUAUAUACAAGUCAAAACGAUUUCUAUAAGGAAAGUUUCUAAAACGAUUGCUCUGUAUUUUUUUGAAGGACAAGAAAGGGAUUUGACUUGAGAAGGAAACUUGGACAUGUUGAGGAAAUUUGAGGACAGAGAAAUAUAGAAUAGAAACUUUCAAGUUGGUCAGUCAGUUAAGUUAAAAGGGCAGGUGUUAUUUUUGCACACUUCUGUCAAUACUCAGUAUAACUCCAAAAUAUACAGUUUCAUGUCUUGUUCAAAAUCUCGAAUUCCUCGAGACCUCGACAAGUCUAAAACUCGAGAUCUUGUCUCGAGAGUUUAUUGAAUAAAUUUUGAUAUAUAUUUAUAUUUAAUUAAUAUUUUUAAAUUUAAUUUUUAAUAGAUUUUUUUCUUGAUUUAAAAAAGUUACGAGCAAUAACCCAAAUUUAACUAAUUUUUAGUUUGUUAAAUCAAUUUUAACGAGAUCUAUAAGUUGAAUUCUACGAAUUUCACAAUUUCAAAAUUUUUAUUCAGAACAAACCAAUAUUUACAAUCGAUAGCAAUCCUUUAAUUUAACUUUAAAAAAAAAAAUGAAAUAAUUUAUAAAUUUUUUAAAAUUAUUAUAUCUUGAGCAUCUUAACACUAAAAAUAUGAUUUCUCACAAGAUCUCAAAAUUUUUCGCGAGAUCUCGAAGAUAUCAACAAGGUUGGUAUGAAUACCAUACCGUUUGAGAUCUCACAAAUAUCUUGUACCGAACAAUCCCCUUUCCGAGAUCUUGUGAGAUCCCACGAGAUUUUGAACAAUAGUUUCAUGUAUGACAUCUAUUUGUGAUCCUGAACUUUUUUUUUUAUCCAAAAUAAAUUUUAUUGAUAAAAAUUUAAAUUUUUUUACAAAGUUAGAGGACAAGCGCAUUACAAACUGCGCUGCAAAUUAAACAUUUUUUGAAUUGCAAAACCAAUCCUACAUAAUACAUAUUCAUUGGAACCCGCCGUCAUCACAUUGUUAUUCAUCACUUUUUGUACCCUCCUGUGAAGUUCAACUGCUUCUAGUACUAGAAACCCAAAAGUGUCAAAAGUAAAAAGAAUAAAACAAUCUUGGUUCGCGGCAAAUGCUCUCUUAUGUUUCUUUAUCUUAGUUGUAGCUGGCUGUCUGACCCACUUUAAAAUUUUUAUUAUCAAACCCCACUAUCGGAGAUGCCCCUGUGAUGUCAACACAUGCAUGUUUCCCUUCUAACCAACUGUAUAGCAAAACAUCAGUUGGACGUAGUGUUGAUCUGCCUUUUGACAGGUCUAUAAGAAAAUUGACUGGAACCUCUUUCUUAACUUGUAUUCUUGCUCGCCGUACUACAUCAUAUAAUAUAUCACACAGAUGAUCGUGUCUGUAUUUAAAACUGGGAUAAUAUUUAUUGACAAUCUAUUUUAUUGACAAACUCAAAAAAUUACACAACGCGCUAAGAAUUGCGUCGCAAGUCCUUUCUGAAUAGUAAAUUAGAUUCUUUUAAAUAUAUAUUUAUUCAAUUUUUUUUUUUAGGAUUGCAAUACAUUUUCUAUAAUAGUUUAUUUAAUUAGUGAUAGAAGCAAAAUUGUUGAAGUUUUUUUUUUUUUCGUUAGCUGCAAAAUUGUUGAAGAUUAAGGAAAGAACAGGUAGGAAGCUGACACUAAUGAAUGUUAACAUUAUUUUGUAGAAAUGAUCAAAUUCAUGUCGAUGUCAAUGUAACUGUAGUUUAUUUGAAAAAAAUCUCCACUAGAUUCAUGUUUAUAAAAAUUUGCCAACAUAAAAAUAGUUUAGAAGAAAUAUCUCGUAAUUUUGGUUGAACUGUCGUAAACAACUGUCCAUUCCUGGCUUAAGAUAAUCUAAAUUGACUUAGAAUUGAGUAAUGACAAUCUUUUUACCUAUUGACUUGAUUAAGUCUAUCUAAACUUUAUAAUCAUCAUCCAUAUCCUACUCAAAGAUGUUGAGCUACAAAAUCUACUCCCGUCUACGGAUUUAAUUCCUGUGUGGAGUAGAUUUUGAAGUAUUUCAACCUCCCAGUUCAAUGUAAAUCAGUUUUUUGUUUUCGUGCACACUUAUGUCCCAAAUGAAACUCAGACUAGUCUCAUUCGCAACCAGGUUUGAAAUGACCAAGUGAUGUUGAAGUCACUUAAGCAAUAAAUGUAUUGUAUUAUGCAUCAUUAGUCAGUAGCAUAGUUCAAAAUAUCGGUAUCGACUAAUGUAUCGAUCUCCAAAAAAUAGAUAUAUCGGUUUUACAGGAAAACGGCCAGUCGGCAAUUAAGCUGUCUAUGUAUUGUAAUCUUAUCAUCUUUUUAUUUUCAUUCAAUUCUCUAACAACUGACAAGAACCAAACUUGCUGAAGGCCAGUGGCAUGAUAGAUACCCCAUAUACUCUCAUUAUUUAUGUCGGUUCAUUAAGGAAUGGGCCUUUUCAGUGCAGAUUUUGUUCAAUUUUCAAUCAGAACACAUAAGGUUUCAAUAUUAUUUAUCACAUUGAAAUCAUACUGCGGAAAAAAAAAAUCAUACUGGGAAAAUUCAAGAACAUUCAUAAUACAUCUGGUCUCAAAUUCAUCAGUAAAACUUAUUUAUACUCGAAUGCGAUCCAAAAGAGAUUUUGGGUGUAUGUGGUUACUCAGCAGAGCUUCCAUGUAUUCCUUGUAUGUCAUGCCAUGAUAUUGUGCUGGAUUGUUUUCACUGUCAACCAACUCUGUCACUGGGGUGACUACAUUGUCCAAACAAGGACCAUGUGUUGCUGCCAAGGAUAGCCGUGUAGCUUUAUUGUUCACUAGUGCUCGAUGUAAUACACUCUUGUACUUUCCGUUGCUCAAUAUCUACAAAGCACAAUGCCCAUAACCAUACGAUUAUAUUCAUAGUCGAAGAUUAAUCAAGACAGGUAAUAUAUUUUUCAUAAAGUUUGUUUUACAGUAGGGUUGGAUCGACUUUGAUAUAUAGUACAUACCUCCAGAUGAUCUGCAGUGUUAACUAAAUAUGUAUUUGGUAAGGGAUGAACAUUGACCCACUUCCCAUUGUGAUUCACUUGAAGUCCACCGAUUUGGUUCUGUAUAAGGAGGGUCAAUAAGCCAUGAUCUGAAUGUGGUGGCAAGCCCAUCGCUAUUUCUGGCUGUGGACAGGGUGGAUAGAGAUUCGCGAUGAGGACCUGAUAACAAGACUCCAAUUCCAUUGCCUUGUCUAUGUAGCAUUCUUCUAACCCCAGGCUUUCUGAUAUUCCUUUAAGUAAUUCUCUUGCUACAUGUCUUGUUCUUUUCGAAUAUUCUAAUGAAAUUUCACUAUAGAAUUUUCACAACAAUUUUACAUAAUUAAAAAGGAACGCAACAGCCUAUAUAUGUAUUAAAAUGAGCAAAAAUAUAUGACCCCGAAGUCACCUGAAACUGGCAGGUCUAGGUAGAGAAUGAAAUUGUGGAUGCGUCCGAACUCUUAGAAAAUCUCUCCAGAAAAACACCUUGUCCACGGAAGGGUUGAAGCUCGUCCCAAAUCUGAUGGGAGCCAACACAUCCACUUCAGCACAUUGCAACUUCUCCUCCUCCGCCAGAUUAAAAAAAUCUGUGCACAUAUCAAGCAUUCUUUCCAUCAAACUCUCUGGAACACCAUGGUUGAUCACCUACAUACCACCCAUAUAACAACACACUUCUAUUAAAACUGUAAACAUGGACAUAAAAUUUUGUAAAUUUUUUAUAAUUUAUUUUACCAUGAAGAAUCCCCAGUCUUGACAUGCUUUAGCAAGGUCUUGGAUAACUUUGGCACGUUGAUCUGGAAUAUUAGAAUUCAGUAGUGAGAAAUCAAUUAUAGGAAUUUGUUCAUCUGCUACCACAUCUUGUUGAUUAAGAGUGGUGGAGUAAGAGUACUUGGAAGGUAUGGAAGUGAAAUCACUUGACUCAGCCAAGUCCUUAACACAUCCUAUCUUUGGUCUGAAAUGUGCAUCAGUUUCAACAUGAGCUUGAGUUAUUGUUGCAACCAUAAUUGGAAUACGGAUCAAGAUAGAGAAGAAGAAGAAGAAGAAGAAGAAUCUGUACUAAUUGGUUGGUGGAGUUUGAACUGUUUGAGUGAAGAUAACAUAGAUUUCAUUCUGAAACAAAUAAAUCAACAAGUCCAAAAAGACAAACUAACUUAGCCACCCUUCUUCUUAUGUGUAAAUUUCCCUAUGGAUUGUGAAAUGAGAGGAAUGCUGAUGGGCCAUAGAGUUAUUGGGCAUUCACAACCACGCAUCCUAAAGCUGUGCUGUUGUGCACAUCUUGAAAGUAAAGUGUUCUUCUAAGUUCUAACUAACAACUGGCAAGAACCAAACUUGCUGAAUUUCAGUGGCACGAUACAUUAAGGAAUGGCCCUUAUGGCCUUAUCAGUUCAGAUUUUUGUAAUAUUCCUUCAGUACAGAAACAAGUAAAACUUGUACAGUAAAAAGGUUUCAAUAAUUGUUUAUGACAUUGAAAUCGUACUCUGAAAAUUUAAGCACUUUCAUCGGUGAAUUGAACUGGAUCCAAAUGAGAUUUCCCAGCUAAUCGGUUGCUCAGCCGAGAGUGUAAUUCCUCCUUGUAUGUCAUCCCAGGAUAUAAUGCUGGAUAGAUUUCAUUCUCAAUCAACUCUGGCACUGGGGUGACUACUUUGUCCGGGCAAGGUCCAUGGGCCACAACCAACGAGAUUCGUGCAGUUUUGUUGUUCACUAUUGCUCGAUGUAGCACACUCUUGUACUUUCCAUUGCUCAAUCUCUGCAAAUCGCAAAGUCUAUAUAUAAACUAAGAUCACAAUCGAGAAAAUCUAACAGAAAAAAAAGGUAUAUUAAUUUAUUCUGAGAAAUUUUUUAUAAAAAAAAAUAAAAAAUGUCAUUUACCAUAAUGUCAGAUUGCUUUUGAUUUACUACAUACCUCUAUAACUAGAAUAGUAUUUGGUGAGGCAUGAACAUUUACCCACUUCCCAUUAUGAUUCACUUGAAGUCCACCAUUUUGGUUCUGUAUAAGGAGUGUCAGGAGGCCAGAAUCUGAAUGUGGCGGCAAGCCCAUAGCUAGUUCUGGUUGUGGACAAGCUGGAUACAGAUUGCCGACGAGAACCUGAAAACAAGACUCCAUCUCCAUUUCCUUGUCUAUGUAGCAUUUUUCCAACCCCAGGCUUUCUGAUAUUCCUUUAAGUAACUCCCUGACUAUUUGCCUUGUUCUUUGGGAAUAUUCCAUUGCAAUCUCACUGUAGAAUUAUUCAUCACAAAUUUACAGCAACAGAAAACAAAACAAAUCAUAUGUUCUCAAUUUAUUGUCGCUUCGAGACUUUUUAUUUUUUUAAUGGUAUUAAAAUUAACGAAAUAUUAAUGACGUACGCAAAAAUGAAGUACCUGAAACCAGAUGGUUUUGGUGGAGAAUAGAACUGUGGAUGCACCCAGACUCUAAGAAAAUCUCUCCAGAAGAACACUUUGUCCACUGAAGGGUUGAAGCUCGUUCCAUACCUGAUCGGAGCCAACACAUCCUCUUCAGCGCACUCCAGCUUAACCUCCUCCGUCUGAUUAAAAAAAUCUUGACAGGCUACAAACAUUCUUUCCAUCAAACUCUCUGGGACGUCAUGGUUGAUCAACUGCAUGUCAUGUAUACAUGUACCCAGCCAUACACCACAAGUUAAAAAGAGAUAAUAAACAUGGGCUUAAUUAGAUUUAGGUUUAUGUCAGAAUACUGUAUGUAUUACCAUGAAGAAUCCCCAGUCUUGGCAUGCUUUUCCAAGUUCUUGAAUAACUUUGGCACGUUGAUCUGGAAUAGCAGAAUUCAGGAGAGAGAAAUCAAUUAUUGGAAUUUUUUCUUCUUCUGCUACCACCUCAAUACCAUCUUCUUCAUUAAAAGUAUUGAAGUAGGUGUACUUGGAGGGUAUGGAAGUGAGAUCACUUGAUUCUGCCAAGUCCUUAACAUAUCCCAUCUUAUUUCUUGAGCUAGUAAAACGUUUUUCAACUGCAUCUUGAACUAUUGCAGCCAUAUAAUUUCAAUACAGAUUGAUCAGAUAGAUAAGAUUGAAGAAGAAGAAUUUGUAGUACUAAUGAGAGUUUUAGUGGGGAUUAUUUUACUGUUUUUUUUUUAAGAACAAGAUAACCAAACAAACAAGCUUGAAAAAGACAAACCGGCCGUUUCUUUAUACGUUUGUAACAAAGGACCCCCACAUGGUUGUCGGAGAAAAAAACAAGGGACCUCACAUAAGUAUUUUCCAGACAUGAGAUAUGAUUCAUAACCAGUUUUGAAUAGAUGAACCAAAUACUGGAUGGUUCUAAAUUAUCAGUCUAUGUGUGGGUGCAAAAGUCCGGUCGCCGUACCAGUCUGGUGGCCGUUGCUGAAGUCCAGUCCAUUAAAGAAUGAGGGGGUACGGCUAUCACUGAUAGAAUAAAGUUCAGUACUAUGGUGCAGUAAUUUCUAUGGCAUAUUACUGAAUUUCAAUCGUCCAGUGUUACACCUUGUGAUACAUUUUGACUGUUAGAUUGUUAGAAUGAAAAAAAAAUAAAAAUCCUAGUACGUCGUCAUCCUAGCGUUUUACCAUGUGUUACAUUUAAUUGAAUGUUGCAGAGAAGGUUGAAGAUGAUUCAAUCCAUUAUUUGAAACUGUUGAAGAUGAUGUUGAAAUUUCAAUGAUUCAAUAUAAUCAUAACAAAUAUGUUCCCUACCUUGGCUUCAAUUAUGUUGCUGGUUGCAGACUUGAUCUGUUGUAAGUUUUGUGACAAGUACUUCAAUAAUACAAAUAUCAAAUAAGUAUGGUACAAGACCUUUCACAAUAGCACAAAAUGAUUGGAGUCUAUUUUUGGGUGGAAUGUCAGUGGCCUAAAUUAUCCCUACUUCAUUCUAAAAUGGUUGAUUAUACUAUUUUUUUUUUGAUAAAUAAUUACAUGUAUAGCACUGUAUUUAGGAGUCAAUAGAAUUCCAUCUUAUUGAAAAAAGUUAAAGAAUCAACUAAUCAAGUAAACUAAUUAACGGAUAAUGAUAUAUUAAUCAUGAUAUCAAACAAUGAAUUACAUUGGCGGACAAUCAUACAUAAUUACUUAUAUGAGUGUGCUGAUAGGCACAAUUCAUACUUAGUAGUACACAUGACCAAUAUGGGUUAUCGCCAAUAUAUUGCUAACCAAGGAGAAUUAAAAUCCAAAUCUCCCAUCAAGGCUUACUGUGGUGUAUGAAAUAUCUCAAGUCUUGGUUUGAGGUUAUGUUCCACACGAAUCUUGCUGUGUGGAACAAAGUCGGACUCCAAGUCUUGCAUCUCAUUGUUGAUCUUGCAUAAGAAAUGUAGCUGUUCGUUAUUCUACUGCGAGUAAUUGUGGUUACUCCUAUAGAUGUGUUUUGAGGGCAAUAAUGGCAUGUAAUGUGUUAAUUCUUAAUUGUGCAUGGUUGCUAUAGUAUAUUGAGUUUUACUUAUUUGACCGAAGACCGGCAACAACAUCGGAGAAUAUGAACAAAAGUUAUUGAAUAUAAUGCCUUGGGAUUUCAUCCUCGCUCAUCCCGGUGCGUCGAGCACCAUACCGCUCGCUAAUGUCAAUAUUGUUCCCCUUUAGUCACUGCGGAUUUCCAACAGUAGAGGGUUUUGGAUCAGGGCCCACCCAUGUGGUUUACCCCAAAAGGCCUUGACACUAGUUAGAGUAUGGUUAAACUCUAUAUACUACCAAAACAACCACUUUCUAGACAAUGUGAGACUAACCCCAACUCAUGGGUGUUACAUUGAAGUACUCCGGUGGCAUAAUAAAUACCCCAUAUGCUCUUAGUACAAUUUUACUUCAGUGGCAUGAUAAAUACUUUAUCAGAGAUUUAAAUUUGAAAUCACUGUGAAAAUUCAAGCACUUCCAAACCGGGUCCAAAUGAGAUUUCCCAGCUAAUCGAUUGCUCAGCCGAGAGUACUGCUGGAUUGGUUUCAUUCUCAACCAACUCUGCCACUGAAGUGACUGCUUUGUCCGGACAAGGCCUAUGAGUCUCUACCAACGAGAUUCGUGUAAUUUUGUUGUUCACUAGUGUUCGAUGUAACACACUCUUGUACUUUCCAUUGCUCAAUCUCUGCAAAUCAAGAACCACAAAAGGCAUAAAAGCAAAAUUUGUUAGUAAAAGCCUAAAAGGUAAUACAUAAAAUCAGUUUGUAUCGAAAGUUUUUUGAACUCUUGAGUAUUUCUGAUAGAUUUCAGGGAAUCAGUCUACCAAUAAAAAGUGGGGACGCAGACAGACAUAGAGCAGGUCAAUUUUCCGGUGCUGCAUAAAUUCACUGCAAUCAAAUAAACUUAAAAUCUUACGGUCACAGUUGCAUUGUGGCCAGUUUCAUGCUUCUUUUUUGCAUUAUGAUGGUAUCAAGCUUAACUCGAAUCUUGCAGUUGCUUGAAGAAAUGUAAUACCCCGGGUCGAAAAGUGGUUUACCGAGGGGUGGGUCCUACGACAUCUAAGAGGGGAUGUCGUGACUUUAGAAUACAGAUAUAAAUCCAUCAUAUAUUAUCACCGAGGUUUUUUGGGCUCACUUGGCUCCAAAGUUCGAAAGAACUCCGGAGUUAAGCGUGCUCAGGUGGAAGUAAUCACAGGAUGGGUGACCCCCAAGGGGACACGUAUAUGUUUUGCAUCAAUAGCCACUCAAGUUGAUUGAUAUACAUGCCCAUGAAUCAUCUUCUAUUGGUCUUAUUAAGUUUGUUUGUUUAUUUGUUUUUGUUUUUUUGUUUUUUCAUUAAAUUCUCUAACUAAUUAGCAACUGAUAAGAACGAACGAAAUUUGCUGAAGUUCAGCGGCAUGAAUGCAUGAUAGAUACUCCACAAGUCCACAUGCUAUUAUUUAUAUGUCGGUCCAUCAAGGAAUGGCCCUUAUUAGUCCAGAUUUUUGUAAUUUUCCUUCAGAAACACACAAACAAGUAAAGUUGUACAAUAAUAAGGUUUCAAUAUUAUUUAUCGCAUUGAAAAUUUGAAAUCAUACACUGAAAUUACAAGCACUUUUCAUCGGUGAACGUUUUAUGUUUGAACCGGAUCCAAAUGAGAUUUCCCAGCUAAUCGGUUGCUCAGCCGAGAGAACAUUUCCUCCUUGUAUGUCAUCCCAGGAUAUACUGCUGGAUAGGUUUCAUUCUCAACCAACUCUGCCACUGGGGUGACUACUUUGUCUGGACAAGGUCCAUGGGUCUCUACCAACGAGAUUCGUGUAGUUUUGUUGUUCACUAUUGCUCGAUGUAACACACUCUUGUACUUUCCAUUGCUCAAUCUCUGCAAAUCGCAAAGUCCAUAUAUAAACUAAGAUCACAUUUUGCAACAUAACAAGACAAGCAUAGUGUGAGCUACUAUUACUGUCCGAUCGAUCUUGAUUUAGUACAUACCUCUAGAUGAUCUGCAGUGUUAACUAGAAUAGUGUUUGGUGAAGCAUGAACAUUGACCCACUUCCCAUUGUGAUUCACUUGAAGUCCAUUUUGGUUCUGUAUAAGCAGGGUUAAUAAGCCAAGAUCUGAAUGUGGUGGGAAGCCCAUCGCUAGUUCUGGCUGUGGACAAGGUGGAUAUAGAUUAGCAACAAGGAUCUGAAAACAAGAAUCAAACUCCAUUGCCUUCUCUAUGUAGCAUUCUUCCAACCCUAGGCUUUCUGAUAUUCCUUUGAGUAAUUCCCUGACUACUUGUCUUGUUCUUUGGGAAUAUUCCAUUGCAAUCUCACUGUAGAAUUUUUUUAUGAUGACAAUAUCACAGCAAUAGAAGACCAAACAAAUCAUAUAUUUUUGCAUAAAAACUCUCUAAAACUAUUUAUGACGCAAAUCACGCAAAAAGUGAAAGUCACCUGAAAUCAGCUGGUUUUGGGGGAGAAAAGAACUGUGGAUGCACCCAUACUCUAAGAAAAUCUCUCCAGAAGAACACUUUGUCCACCGAAGGAUUGAAACUGGUUCCAUACCUGAUCGGAGCCAACACAUGCUCUUCAGCGCACUUCAACUUAACCUCCUCCGUCUGAUUAAAAAAAUCUUGACACACCGCAAGCAUUCUUUCCAUCAAACUCUCUGGGACUCCAUGGUUGAUCAACUGGGCGCAUGCACCCAAGCCAUACAACACAAGUUAAAAGAUCAUCAGAUCGAGAUUGUAAACAUAUAUGGACUUUUAAUUUUGGUACAUGUCAGUCAGAAUAUGUUUACCAUGAAGAAUCCCCAGUCUUGGCAUGCUUUGCCAAGAUCUUGGAUAACUUUGGCACGUUGAUCUGGAAUACCAGAAUUUAGGAGUGAGAAAUCAAUUAUAGGAAUUUGUUCAUCUGCUAUCACCUCAUCAAUACCAUCUUCUUGAUUUUGAGUAUUGAAGUAGUUAUACUUGGAGGGUAUGGAAGUUGAUUCUGCUAAGUCUUUAACACAUCCCAUCUUAUUUCUUGAGCUUGUAAAAGGUUUUUCAACUUGAGCUUGAACUAUUGCAGCCAUAUAAUUUCAAUACAGAUGAGAUUCUUUUUUUAAAAAAAAAUCAAAUAAAACUACUAACAAGCUUAAAAAGACAGACAAACCAUCUACAUGUCUACAUGUCCUUUUUAUGAAUGUAACAAGGGACCUUAUCACAUAAAGCAAGGUCAGCUUGGAGACAACAUGUCACGCGCAUUAUCAGUCCAUAUUUUGUUGUAUUUUCCUCAGAAUCGGAGAAACAACUAAGGUUGUAAUUCAUUUCUAGCCUUAAUCAGAAAUCCAGAUCUAGUGGAGUUCAGUAAUCCCAAUCCAAAUGUUCUUUAUUAUAUCGAAAUUGUACUAUAUGAAAAAUUAAGGACAUUAAUAAUAUAUAUACAGACUAUUUUAAAUUCGAACUCGAUCCAAAGUUGAUUUCCCACUUAAUUGAUUGUUCUGCUGAAGUUCCAAGUAUUCCUUGUACUUGAUCCCAUGGUAUAAUGGUGGAUUAUUUUUGUUGUCAACCAACUCUGUUGCAGGGGUGACUACUUUCUCCAAAUUAGGCCCAUGGGCAAUCCCGACCGAUAUUCGUGUAGCUUUGUUGUUCACUACUGCUCGAUGUACCACGCUCUUGUACUUUCCAUUGCUCAGAAUCUACAAAUUAAGCACAAAGUUCAUAUCAAAGUAUAAGAUUAAAAUCGGAAAAACAGUAGAGCACAUUGUGUGGUACUAAUUUUCAUGAAAAUUUUGUUUACAGUGUCGCGACCAAUCAACUUUGAUAUUGUAGUCCUAGACUCCUAGUACAUACCUCUAGAUGAUCAGCAAUAUUAACAAUAAUAGUGUUUGGUGAAGCAUGAACAUUGACCCAUUUCCCAUUGUGAUUCAGUUGAAGUCCACCAUUUUGGCUCUGUAUAAGGAGGGUCAAUAAGCCAUAAUCUGAAUGUGGUGGCAGGCCCAUCGCUAAUUCUGGCUGCGGACAGGGUGGGUAGAGAUUGGCUACGAGGAUCUGAAAACAAGACUCCAAGUCCAUUGCCUUGUCUAUGUAGUGUUCUUCCAACCCCAGACUUUCCGAUAUUCCCUUAAUUAAUUCCCUGGCAACUUGUCUAGUUCUUUUGCAAUAUUCCAACGAAAUCUCACUGUAAAAAAUUUACGACAGUUUUAUUUACUUAUGUAAUUCAGAGGAGUUUAAUUGUUCUCUAUAUUCGGAGAAAUGAUCAAAAGAUAUGCUGUGAAAGAUAUGCCACGAAGUGCAGUCACCUGAAACCGGCUGGUGUAGGCGGAGAAUGAAAUUGUGGAUGCACCCAAACUUUAAGAAAAUCUCUCCAGAAGAACACCUUGUCCACUGAAGCGUUGAAGCUUGUCCCAGACCUGAUGGGAGCCAACACAUGCUCUCCAGAACACUUCAACUUCUCCUCUUCCGUCUGAUCAAAAAAAUCCUUACACAUGUCAAGCAUUCUUUCCAUCAAACUCUCCGGGAUCCCAUGGUUGAUCACCUACAUGUCACACAUACACACAAUUAUGAGUUAUGUUAAACAUUAAAACUGUAUACGUACAUGGACUUAGAAUUUUGUACAAUUCAGAAUUUUACCAGGAAAAAUCCCCACUCUUUGCAUGCUUCGCGAAGCUCUUGAAUAACUUUGGCACGUUGAUCUGGAAAAGUGGAAUUCAGGAGAGAAAAAUCAAUUGUUGGAAUUUGUCUUUCUACUAUGACCUCAAUAUCAUUGUCGUAAUAGGCGUAUUUGGAGGGUAUGGAAGUGAGAUCACUUGACUCGGCUAAGUCCUUAACACACCCUAGCUUUGGUCUAAAAGCUGUUUCUGCAUGAGCUUGAGAUGUUGCAGCCAUGGAGUGAAUAUAAGAUGAAGAUAAUGAAGAAGAAAGAUAUGGAGUAAUAUUUUGGGUUAGUUCACAGUGUUCAUUUGAGUUGAGAUUUGAUUUGAAGAGGCCUAGCUACUUGUUUUUCAAGUGUGGAUAUCAAGUGAUAGAUCCACUCAUCCACCUCUCUUGCAUAUCAAGUUCCAAAGGUUUAAUGCUUGACUACGAGUGUACAGCUAAUGUUGUACUAUUAGCCAAACACCAUUGCUCUUCCUAGUUAUUUUGUUCCAGAAUUUGACCAUAUUCAUCAAAAGUUUCACUCUCAAACACCUUUCAGGGAGACAAAAGGACGGGUUGAGAAUUGACAAAACUCUUACCAAAGGGCCAAUAAAAUUAACUAUACUAUGGUUCCAACAUCGCGAAGCUCUAGGAGAACCAAGAACACCAAUAUCUACAAUGGCUAUUAAUUGUUUAACAUUGCUGAACAAUCAGCAAUUAGCUAACAACUAGGUCUGUUAGCCAAAAUUCUUAAGGUUGGGUUAGGGCCGGCAGCAGAGAACUGCCUUAGUUAGCACAUUAUUACAUUAUUGUAAAGUCUAGCCUCUGAAUUGUGGAGUACCACUACCUUUGUUGGAUGGCAAACUCCGAACACUAUUUGAUACGCCAUGCCCACGCAUGUUUUCUUUUUUACAAACUGCCUUAGUUAGCAUAUUGUUGAGAGAAGGUUUUAAUUGUAAUCCUUUAUUGUAUAAGGGACAGUCCAUGAUGUAAUCAGUUGGAGCUGUAUUUUUUCUGAAAUAAUGAAAAAAGUGUUUAUAUCGACCAAAAAAGUGUUUUAGUAAUCCCAGCCCAUUGUUCUUUUAUCAUAUCCAAAUCCUACUACUAUAUAUAUGAAAAAUUAAGCACACUAAUAAUAUACAGACUAUUUUAAAUUCGAACGUGAUUUAAAAUCGAUUUCCCACUUAAUUGGUUGCUCUGCUGAAGUUCCAAGUAUUCCUUGUAUUUGAUCCCAUGGUAUAAUGGUGGAUUAUUUUCAUUGUCAACCAACUCUGUUACUGGAGUGACUGCUUUCUCCAAAUUAGGUCCAUGAGCCAUUGCCAAGGAUAUCCUUGUAGCUUUAUUGUUAACUACUGCUCGAUGUACAACGCUCUUGUACUUUCCAUUGCUCAGAAUCUACAAAGCACAAUCCAAAUAUAAUAUGAUCAUAAUGGAAAAACAUGCAGUGGACACAUAUUUGUGUGGUACUAUAAUUUUAAUGAAAAUUUGAUUUACGGUGGCGUGCAUAUAACUUUGAUAUUGUGGUAGAUACCUCUAGAUGAUCCCCAGUGUUGACAAGAAAAGUGUUUGGCAAGGCAUGAACAUUAACCCACUUCCCGUUGUGAUUCAGUUGAAGUCCAUCAGUUUCGUUCUGUGUAAGGAGGGUCAAUAAGCCAUGAUCAGAAUGUGGUGGCAUCCCCAUUGCUAAUUCUGGCUGCGGACAGGGUGGGUAAAGAUUGGCGAUGAGGAUCUGAAAACAAGACUCCAAGUCCAUCGCCUUGUCUAUGUAGCAUUCUUCCAACCCCAGGCUUUCCGAUAUUCCUUUGAUUAAUUCCCUGGCAACUUGUCUAGUUCUUUUGCAAUAUUCCAACGAAAUCUCACUGUAAAUUUUUUUUUGACAAUUUUGUUUAAUUUUUCUUUAUAGUACAUUCUUUCGGGGUUUACAUAAAAUUAAAACAAUGAAUUUUAUGAAAAAAAAAUGAACAAAAUAUAUGCCGCAAAUUAAGUGCAGGCACCUGAAACCGGCUGGUGUAGGUGGAGAAUGAAAUUGUGGAUGCACCCAAACUUUAAGAAAAUCUCUCCAGAAGAACACCUUUUCCACUGAAGCAUUGAAGCUUGUCCCAGACCUGAUGGGAGCCAACACAUGCUCUCCACCACACUUCAACUUCUCCUCCUCCGUCUGAUCAAAAUAGUCCUUACACAUGUCAAGCAUUUUUUCCAUCAAACUCUCUGGGAUCCCAUGGUUGAUCACCUACAUGCAUGUCAUACACACAGUUAUGUUAAUGCGUAUACAUGGACUAAAAAAUUUGUAUGUCGUUUCUCGGAAUUUUACCAGAAAGAAUCCCCAUUCUUGGCAUGCUUCGCGAAGGUCUUGAAUAACUUUGGCACGUUGAUCUGGAAAAGUGGAAUUCAAGAGAGAAAAAUCAAUUGUUGGAAUUUGUCCUUCUACUAUGACAUCAAUAUCAUCUUUAUUAAGAGUAGUAUUAUCAAAAUAGGCGUAUUUGGAAGGUAUGGAAGUGAGAUCAAUUGACUCGGCUAAGUCCUUAACACAUCCUAGCUUUGGUCUAAAAGGUGUUUCUGCAUGAUCUUGAGAUGUUGCAGCCAUGGAAUGAAUAUAAGAUGAAGAUAAUGAAGACAUAGAUUGAAGAAGAAAAUUAUAAUGUGUUCAAGUCUCAGAGUUAACUUGAGAUUGAUAUAUGAUUGAUUGAUUGUUAACAAACAAAAUAUGACUAACCAGCCAUUUUGAAGUUGCCUACUUGCUUUUGAAGUGUGGAUGUGAUAGAUCCACCUCUGCUAAGUACUAUUAGCCAAACAGUCAAACACUACUUUUCUUCAUAGUUUUAUCUACUUAUCUUCUUCCAGAUUUCGAUCAUAUUCGUCCAAAGUUUCACACUCUCAAGUAGGGGUGGGCAAAAAAACCGAAAAACCGAAAACCGAACCGAAAAAACCGAGUCAAAACCGAGUUGACUAAAAACCGGUCAAGACCGGACCGAAACCGAACCGAACUAUAUAGCUAUUGGUCCGGUCUCGGUUCUUGUUUUUAUAGAACCGAGAGAACCGAACCGAACCGAAAUAAAUAAAAAACAUUUUUUUUAUUAUGAAAUUACUAAACUAGACAUAGGAAAGUAGAGAAACCUAACUUCAUUCCUUUUUUUCCAUCUCAAUCCGUCUCCUUCAGUCCUCUUCUCCAUCUCAAUUUCCACCACCACCACCGCCACUCUCUCCUUCAGUACUUGAACGCACUUCCUCAGUUCCUCGUUCUUCUUUUAGUAGCUUCUCAACUAAGGGUCUGUUUGCAAUUGAUUUCGAAUUGGGUUGUAUUCAAUUGAUUUCGAAUUGGGUUGUAUUCUUGUUUCCAGAUCAUUAUCUCAAGGUAUGUUUUGUUUUAAUUUUUUUACUGUUGAGUUUAUCGAUUUAAAAUUAUCCUUUAAAGUUUAAACUUCUUCUUUUUCCGGUCUAUAAAUAUACACGAAUUUCUCGUAUCAAAAAAUAAAUCUCAUUUCUAUUCUAUCUCCUUCUUCUUAUAACUCCUACCUUUUCCAUUUCCAUUUCCAUCUUAAUAAGAUUCUUUUUCUUUAUCAAAGCUCUCUGUUUCUAUAGAAAAAAGGUGAGAAAUCUUUCAAUCUAAUUCCAUUUUUGCAUCUUUCUCUUCUCUCUGUACGAUCUGAUUCAUCUUUUUAAAUUUAGCUAUAUAUUGAUUUUAGAAUAUCUGAAAUCCUUUUUGAAGAAGAAACUAGCUAUGAUCUUAUGAAUUCAUAAAAUCUUGAUUUGAUAAGAGUAGUUUUUCUUCUAUUAUGAUUGCUUCUUUUUGUCGUUUGUUUUUCCACAGUUUGUUUGAUCAAUUUGAUAAAUAAAUAUAUAUAAUUGAUACUUCUCUGUAAUUGUUUAAUUCCUUCUCUGUCUUAUACUUAUUUGUUUAUUAAUUAAAAUAAAAGAGUUUUUAUUUUUCAAGAAAGAUAAAUGAUUCUUGGUAUUUGUCUUCAUCUCUAAAACUUUCUCUGACAGAUUUGUGUAUUCUUCCAUUUUCAGGAACAAGAAUAGAAUAAGCCCAGUUGUUUCUUGUCUUUGUUUCUAGGCCCAAUAAAAAAGCCCAGGACCGAGUUUCGGACCGAAACCGGACCGAUUGUAUUUGGUCCGGUUCGGUCCGGUUUCAUUCAAAAAAAUUCGGUCCAUGGAACCGAAACCGAACCGAUACUUUCAAGUCGGUUUGGUCCCGGUCCUAUUACAUUUUAGGACCGGACCGGACCGUGCCCACCCCUACUCUCAAGUAGGCCUGUCAACUAUCCAAACCGAUCCAUGAUCCGAACCGAUCCAAAACCAAUCCAAACCAUUAUUUUUCUGUUUUGGAUAUCCAUUUGGAUUAUUGGAUUAUUCCAAAUGGUUUUUGGAUAUCCAUUGUGUUUUUGGAUCGGUUUGGAUAAUUACAAAGAAAAGACCGAUCCGAUAUUAGAAAAAAAAAUAAAAAAGUUUAUCGAUCUGUCCAAAACCCCCAAUUCUACUCUUUUCGUCUUCUCGAAAAUUUCAAUCGAUCUUUCUUCCCAAGCUUUACCUUCUCAACUUGCAAGAAUUUUGAUCACAUCAAAAUAUCAAAUAACCCUGAUUCGUUAUAUUUCAAUCAAAAGAACAAAUUAUUCUAAGGAUGAAGAUCAGACGUGUUAAUUGGUUUCGGUUUCAAUUUCAAACACUGCUACUACUUCUUGACAGAAGAACAGAGAAGAAGAAGAUAGAGAAAAAGUUUGUUUUUAUUAAAGUGUGUGUUGGUUGCGCUAUCACAGAAAACAAAACUCUCUCUCUCUAUAUAUAUAUAUAAACAGAACUAUCCAUGGAUGAUUUCCAUGGUUUACUAGCAAUAUACGAAUUCAAAACUCCUUCAUUCAAUUUUGGCUUAAU
RNAcentral lists this long non-coding RNA (44564 nucleotides) under Aquilegia coerulea. Its description in RNAcentral is "long non-coding RNA (ACOE_LNC000877)". Lineage: Eukaryota; Viridiplantae; Streptophyta; Magnoliopsida; Ranunculales; Ranunculaceae. The record is from RNAcentral.